Molecule: long non-coding RNA, 49225 nt
Filed under: Gossypium barbadense (sea-island cotton)
Lineage: Eukaryota; Viridiplantae; Streptophyta; Magnoliopsida; Malvales; Malvaceae
Description: long non-coding RNA (GBAR_LNC001031)
Source: RNAcentral
UUAAAUUAAAGGCAAUUAGAAAGAAGUCACACAAACAAACCGUAAACAUAAUGAUAAUUGUAACAAAAUUUUUCUACAGAAUUGAGCAACCAUACUCCCAAAUGGCUAUAAAUAGAAAACUGAAUCUAGAUUUCUUCACAACAGUUAGAUGCCAAAAAGAUUGCUAGUUUUUUUAAAAUAUGAAACAUUUUCCUCUCUUAACUAUCUCAUCUGUAAGUAUCAUAUCUGUCCAGCUCUUGACUCUUUGAUUUUCUGUAAAUUGGAUUUUAUCCUCUGUGCUCAGUCGGAGGCACAGAUUAUUAAAACAUAUAAUCAAUGGCUCUUCCGUUCUGUCAAAUAGUAAUCACCCACUGUCAAGAAGACAUGUUCUCCCAGCUUCACUUCCACUGCGGCCAAGUUCUCAAUGCAAUCAACCUUUAUCUGCAACACAACACAAAACCAGACUAGACAUUCAAUUGAGGCUGACCANNNNNNNNNNNNNNNNNNNNNNNNNNNNNNNNNNNNNNNNNNNNNNNNNNNNNNNNNNNNNNNNNNNNNNNNNNNNNNNNNNNNNNNNNNNNNNNNNNNNNNNNNNNNNNNNNNNNNNNNNNNNNNNNNNNNNNNNNNNNNNNNNNNNNNNNNNNNNNNNNNNNNNNNNNNNNNNNNNNNNNNNNNNNNNNNNNNNNNNNNNNNNNNNNNNNNNNNNNNNNNNNNNNNNNNNNNNNNNNNNNNNNNNNNNNNNNNNNNNNNNNNNNNNNNNNNNNNNNNNNNNNNNNNNNNNNNNNNNNNNNNNNNNNNNNNNNNNNNNNNNNNNNNNNNNNNNNNNNNNNNNNNNNNNNNNNNNNNNNNNNNNNNNNNNNNNNNNNNNNNNNNNNNNNNNNNNNNNNNNNNNNNNNNNNNNNNNNNNNNNNNNNNNNNNNNNNNNNNNNNNNNNNNNNNNNNNNNNNNNNNNNNNNNNNNNNNNNNNNNNNNNNNNNNNNNNNNNNNNNCCCUGAAUACUUUAGAUUAUUACAUUUCAGUUCGGUGCCACUAAUUUGAUAGGCGACACUAAUAAAAAUAUACCAUUUUAAUAAAUAAUCUUAUGGGCAUACCAUUUCAGUUAUUAAUUUUAUUUUUUGUAUUAUUUAGGUGAAAAAGCCAUUAGUUGAUGAUGUGAAUAUUUUUUUUGGACAUGUUAGAAUUAACUAAUGAGAGAGGUUAAUUAAACGUUAAAAUAUGCUUCAUUUUAACCCAAAUUAAAACAUAAAAAGUAGGUGCCAAAUACAAGGGAAUCAAAACAGUAGUUUAACCAAAAGAUUUGGGCGGCUAGAAGGAGGCAGAGCUUGGACUGUAGGCAAUUUUUUUCAAAGAAAACGGGGUUUUAAUUUGAUGGGAAGGGACUUGGCUUGAAUCUUUACGUUUUUAUCGCGCUUGGCCCAACUCCCUAUGAUUCUUCCACUUUAUCAUAACUUUGCAGCUGUCUGUCUCUUGUUUUCUUAAAUAUUUGACUAAAGAAUAUAGAGAUGUAUGAUGCUGUAUUAAAGGGACAAUUUUCACUUUGGAAACCUAUCCCCCUAUAUUUUCUAUCUACUUAUUAGGCUUUUGCUAGUCUUUGGAGCUGCCGAAGCGUCAAACUUCAAACAGCUAAACCCUAAAAUGAGUUGUAAACCCGGAUCCUCUUUUUAUCUUUUUGCCCAACUUAAUAAUAAAUAAUUAAAAAUUCUGAGACUGUACAUAGGUCAUAGAAUAAUUAGUCUUGCUCCUUAAUGUCGUGCUAUAGUCCAUAGCUCAAGGAACUGUGCAUGUCUAUAUGCUUAAUUGUCAUUUGUUCCAAGGGAAUGAUAUAUAUAAUUGGAAAGGUAAAUAUUAUUCCUAAUGUAUGAUAUGGUUACCUAAUCUAGAAUUGAUAUUAUUCCAUGAGAAGCAUUCAUUAAUUAGACCUGCUACUUGACUAUCAGCCUUACUUGAGUAUUUUUCUAAAGACAUGACCUUGAUAAUGUGCUGUCACUAACUAAAAGCAAACAGUGGCCCAUAAGCACAUGUCUAGAAAGUAAAUGGGAGAGAUUUCUAAAAUAAUUAAUCCACAACAUAUAACAUUUACAUGCAUAAAGCAUAUAUACUAUAGUUAGCAUUUAGCGAGGUGUAUCUUCCUGGAGCCACUCAAUCUCGUUAAAUAAAUUGAAGGACAUGUAAGCAAGUAGAAGGCAGUGGGUGGUAUACAGCAAUCACAUGAAAUAAAAUAUCGAGUGUCACAAUUCUCGUGGAACUGGGUAGACAGACUGGCUGAUUAGAGAGACAAUCUCCAGGAAUAUUUGAGUUCUUUCGGAUAGAUUAUUGGAUACUCAAAUCCACCAAUAUAUACAUUCAUGAUGGGAAUGAGAUUCCGUUCUGUCAUCUAUUUUUCUAAUAGAGAUAUUCAACCAAUGCCCAAUGUUUAAUGCUCAUAUGCCAUUAAUAUAUAGUCAAAAUCAUGUUUUAAACAAUUAUUUAUGCCGGGAAUUCAACCAUUACUUUAUUUGCUUAUAAAUAUAAUAUUCUCUUAUUUAUUCCCAAAACCUAUUAUUAUUUUAACAUAUAAUGUUAUUAGGGUAAUCAAAAUUCGGUUCGAUUUGAAAAUUUUAAAUUUUGAAUUAAAUAGUUCGAGUUAACUCGAAUAAAAAAGUUAAAAUUUUCGAUUUAACUUGAAUAUGAAUUAUACAAUUCGAAUUACUUUUUCUAUUAGUUAAAUAAUCGGUCCGUGUAGGUUUAAAAUUGGGUAUAAUAGGACUCGACGCAAAAUACUUGAUUUAAAAGAAAUAAUUACUAUUACUUAUGUAAUAAGGGGGAACCAAACGUGAUGUUAAUUCACCUUGGGCAUUAAUUUUCGAUGUUGUCUAUGUAGUGAGUCUACACAUUUUUUUAAAUUACUAGUAAAGGCUAGAGGGAAAGGUUGCAUUGUGACAGGCGGCGCCAAAGGAAUAUGUAAUGACCCAAAAUUCACAAGCACCGAAAAAGUACAUUAUCGGGCCUCCGUCUUAGUAAAUUGAGUUCGAAAAUAAUUAUUAGAAAUAUUUAUUAGACUAGUUGUGUGUUUAAUUAGGUAUUAAUUGGGUGAAUUUAGUUUAAUUAAGAGAAAUUAAGAAAAAAAAGGACUAAAUUGAUCUAGGGGUAAAAGUUGAAUUAUAGAUUAAUAAAAAAAGGAUUAAAAUGGCAAUUAAGCCAUUAAUAAGAAAUGGGACGGUAAAGUGAUAAAAAUAUUAGAUUUUUAUGCUUUAUAUAUAUUAUUUUAUUAUAUAUUAUAUAUUAUAUUAUAUUGUAUUGUAUUGUGUUAUAUUAUAUAAGUAAAAAAAAAAGAUGACAAAUGUAUGGUAAAUAUUGAAGACAUGUGUAAUAGUAAUAAUUACAUGGGUACACUUGUAAUAAAAAUAAAUAUGUGCUUAAUUAAUAAGUAAAAGAUUUUUUUUAAUAUAUUAUUAGUUAAAAUAAAAGAUAUAAAGUAAAAGAAAGAAAGAAACAAAGAAGAAAAGAAACAGAAUACCUAGAAAAGAAGCAGGGAAAGAGACGAAAACAGGGGAAGAAAAGGGAAAAGAAAAAUAAAAGGGAAAACUAAGGAUUUAAAGCUUCAAGUUAAUUGGUAAGCUAAAUUUAGCCCUUUCCUCUUCAUUUUGAUAUUUUAAAAGCUUUAAAACAAAAUUUUGUUGAAGUUAAGUGGAGGUUAUGGAAGUUCAUAGGUUUUUGAACAUGAUUCAUUUUGAACAAGUUGUUAAAUUAGGGGUUUAGUUGAUAGAAUUUUUAGUUAGAAUAGAUAAAAAGAAUGAUUUGUGAACUAAGUUGUAAGUUUUACAUAAUUGGGAUUAAGUUAUAAAAAGCCUUAAAUUAGGGUUUAUGUUGAAUAAAUGAUGGAAUUGAGGGUUUAUUUGAUAGAUUUUCUAGUUAGAGUUGAUAAAAGGAUUAAAUUGUGAACUAAACUAUAAGUUUUGAAUUUUAGGGAUUAAAUUGAGGAAAAUUCGAAAUUAGUGAAAAAUGCUGAAAAAUUAGUAGAUAAAUUUGGAUUUAGAAGGAAUUUGAAUAGAAAUAGAGUGUGAAUUAAGUUAGAAAAAUAAGUAAGCUUAGUUAGAAUUAAAUUGGGAAUAAGUAGGAAUUGAAUAAAAAUUUUAUUAUUAUUAUUAUUGUUAAUAUAAUUAUUAUUAUUAUUUUAAUGAUUAUAAUUAAAAGUGAAAAUAAUUAUUAUUUUCGUAGCUAACAAGGAAAACGAGGCAUCGACAUCUAAAGGAAAAGAAAAGAUCGUUGAGGAGUAAACGCGUAUUCCGGGUUUGUAUUACUAUAACUUAAUCUAUUUAAUAAAUGCUAUAUUGAAAUUGUAUUCAUGAGACAUUUAAAGGAAGUUAAGUAUUAACAUUUGAAAUUAAGUAAGAAUAUGUGUAUAUUGAAUUAUAUGUGAAUUGAAAUAAUAGAUGUUUUGUAUUGAUUGAAUAUUUGAAAUUGUUGUGGAAAUGAAUUCGAAAUAGGAAAAGUAAAAUAAUACCCUAUUAACUUAUCGGACUAGAUUGGAUACAAAUGGCAUGCCAUAGGAUUUGUGAUGUGAUGAGGAGAUUUGUAGUUCGGCCGAGAAGAUGACUAUGUUAUUAAAUGCUUCGGUUUAUCCGAAGAGGCAUUAAAUGCCUUAUUGGUGUGUUUAGGAGGUUAUGAUAUACUGGUGUGUUAUGGAGGAUUUAAAUUAUUUCGGGUGUGUUUAGGUUGGAUAUUUUGGUGUGUUUGGGUGGAAUCCGCGUAUCUGUCAGAGUCCGAGCCUUGUUAAUAGGGUAAAUAAUUGAAAUGGAAAUUUGAAAAUGAGAUUAGUUGAUUUGACACUAUUGAAAAAUAUGAGAAAGAAUGUAUGAUAUAAAUUAGGAAUUGAUUUAGUAUGUAAAUAUUUAAAUAUAUAAAUUUCAGAUUUAUGGAAUGAUAUAUGAAUAUUUAUAUUUAGUUUAAAGUGAUUUUUUUUAAAGACUAUGGUCAAUAUUUGAAAUUUUAUUAUUAUUAAAUAGUUUAAUUUAUAGUAAUACCACUGAGUAUAAAAUACUCAGCGUACAGUUGUUUCCGUGCGCAGGUUGAAAAGGGGUUAGUGUCUCGGUUCAGCAUCCAGGACAAUCCCGACUCCGACAUAAAGAUUUUGGUGAUGUUUUCUUCCUUUAAGAGAAAGUGGCAUGUACAUAGGAUUUAUAAUAGUUAUUUUGGCAUGUUAUAUAGUUUUGUUGUAAAGUAAGAUAUUAUGUGUUUUGAUGAUUAUAUUAGAAAAAUGGUAUAAGUUUUUUUUUAGCAUUGGUAUCAAGUUGAAAUGGCUUAGUUAGUUUUAUGUGUUAAUUAGAAAUGAUAAUAGGAUUUUAUUUACUUAAGUUGUUAUGUCUAUAUGUCAAGUAGGAUUAAGCAUAUAAAUGCCUUGGUUGAAAUACUGAAAUUGGGUUGGUUAUGUUUGAAAUUUUGCAAAGGGUUUAAUGUAAAAAUAAGUCGAAAUGCUGCCGAAUUUUUUUUUUUUAAAAAUGAAUGAAAUCAAUUAGUACAAAUUUAUAACAAUUUAUGAAGUAUUUUAAUAUGUUGGUUAUUUAUUUAGAAUUAUUUGUAAAUUGUUUGAUAUGUCUGGUAAUGCCUCGUAACCCUGUUCUGGCGACGGUUUGGGGUUAGGUGGUGUUACAGAAUAGGGGAGGGAACAAUUAGGCUAGACAUGGUGCAACUGUAGUAAUUGCAAAUGUGGACAUAGCCGGAGCUGCGUUUGCUGAUUCAUUACUUCCUAAUUCAGCUAUAUUUGUUCAGUAUGAUGUUAGCUUGGAAGAAGACAUUGCAAACUUGGUGGAUGUCACAAUUCUAUGUUAUGGACGGAUUGUUAUGUUUUUUAACUGUUAGAAUUAAGUAACUCGAAUCAUUAUUUAAAUAAAAUACAGUUGUAAAAUAAAAUAAAAGUAAAAUCCUAUAGAACAAAGUGUUUCAAUCUUACUACACUCCUAUUAGAAUAUGGUUUUACAAACUUAUAAAUAGACAUAAUCUACUCCUCUUGUAAUUAUUUCGAAUUCAACAUAGUGAAUUAUCUUCUUCUCUGCCUGUGAUUUUUUUCUCAAAAGGGUUUCCACGUAAAAAUCUGUGUUUUUUAUUUUAAUUUCUCUUUUCUUUGCGAUAUAUUGUCAUUACCGACAUUCUAAUUUCGUUGGCAUAGGACAUCUUCCAGAAUUGAAGAGAAAUUUAAUUUCGUUAAGUCAAAAAGGUACAAAUACACAGUUGAAAGUGAGGUUUUGAAGAUUUCCAAAGGUUCCUUUGUUGUGAUGAAAGGGCGGAGAAAGACUACCAAGUUAUAUGUCUUGCAUGGUUCUACUGUUACUGGUGAUGCAGCUGUCGCAUCCUCUUUCUUAUCAGAUGACGAUAUUACUAAACUUUGGCAUAUGCGCCUGGGGCAUAUGAGUGAGAAUGGCUUGACAGAAUUGAGUAAAAGAGGAUUUCUUGAUGGGCAAGGAAUUUGCAAGAUUAAGUUCUGUGAGCACUGCAUUUUUUGGGAAGUAAAAGAGAGUUCGAUUCACUAGAAGAAUCCAUAACACGAAGAGAACAUUAGAGUAUAUUCAUUCUGAUCUGUGGGGGCCAUCAAGAGUGCUUUCGAGUGGUGGAGCUAAUUAUAUGCUAACUUUUAUUGAUAAUUUUUUCAGAAAAAUUUGGGCGUUCUUCUUGAAGUAGAAGAGCGAUGUGUUUUUCGCAUUUAAGUCUUGGAAAACUAUGAUUGAAAAACAGACGGGAAAACAAAUAAAAUACCUCCACACAAACAAUGGCUUAGAGUUCUGUUCUGAUGAGUUUAAUAAACUGUGCAAGUUAGAAGGGAUCGUGAGACACUUAACAGUUUGUCAUACUCCACAGCAAAAUGGCGUUGUAGAAUGAAUAAACAGAACGGUCAUGGAGAAGGUUUGAUGUAUGUUGUCAAAUGCCAACUUACCAAAGUCAUUUUGGGUCGAAGCAGUCUCUAUUGCAUGUUUUUUAACCAACCGAUGCCAUUAAGAAAAAGACUCCACAAGAGGUAUGUUCUGGUAAUCCUGCUGACUAUUCUGAUUUAAAGAUCUUUAAGUGUCCUGCGUAUGGUCAUGUUGAUAAUGGAGAAUUGGAACCGAGAUCCAUUAAAUGUGUUUUUCUUGGUUAUAAAGCUGGUGUAAAAGGGUAUACGUUAUGGUGUCUUGAAAAUAGAAAAGUUAUGAUUAGCAGAGAUGUUGUUUUUUAUGAAACUGCUAUGCUAUCUAACUUAUCUCUUAAAGGCUAUUCCAAUAAAGAAAAUCAAAAGCAGGUGGAACAUCAGAUUAAUCCAGAAUCUACAACAUAGUUGACUCAUCAAGCCCAUACAAAAAUUCAGAAUAGAGUUGCUUCUUCACCACAAUACUCUAUUGCCAAAAACAGAAGUAGAAGAGAAAUUAAACCUCCAAAGAAAUAUGCCGAGGUUGAUCUAGUUGCUUAUUCUUUAAAUAUGGCUUAAAAUAUAGAUGCAAACCAAGAGCCAUCUAAUUAUUCUGAGGCGGUUAGUUGUGAAGACUCAGAAAAGUGGAUAUUUGCUAUGCAAUGGGAGAUGGAAUCACUCCACAAAAACAAAAUAUGAGAUCUUGUGAAACUUCCUAAAGGUAAAAAGGUUGUUCGUUGUAAAUAGGUGUUUAAAAAGAAAGAAGGGAUUCCAAGAAUUGAAGAACCCAGAUAUAAAGCAAGGCUUGUUGUAAAGGGUUAUAGUCAAAUUCCAAGAGUGGACUUCACAGAUGUGUUCUCCCCAGUUGUGAAGCAUAAUUCGAUUUGAGCUUUGCUUGGUAUUGUGGUCAUACAUGAUUUGGAGCUUGAGCAGUUAGAUGUAAAAAUUACAUUUUUGCAUGAAGAACUUGAGAAGGAUAUUUACAGGCAACAACCAGAGGGUUUUCAAUCUCAGAAAAAGAGGACUAUGUUUGCUUGCUAAAAAAGUCCCUUUACGGUUUGAAAUAGUCACCAAGACAGUGGUAUAAGAUGUUUGAUUCCUUUAUGACUUCUCAUGAUUUCAAAAGAAAUAGCUUUGACAGUUGUCUUUACUUUAAGAAAAACAGUGAUGGUUCUUUUGUGUAUCUACUCUUUAUGUUGAUGACAUGUUGAUAACAACGAAAGAUAAAGGAGAGAUAAGAAAAGUCAAAGCCCAACUAAGUGAAAAAUUUGAUAUGAAAGAUUUGGGACCAUCAAAGAAGAUACUUGGUAUAGAGAUUCUUAGAGAUAAAAAAAACAAGUAAAUUGUACCUAAGUCAGAAUGAGUACAUUGAGAAAGUUCUUUGCAGGUUCAAUAUGCAGAGUGCUAAGCCUGUUAGUACUCCUUUAGUAGCCCAUUUCAAACUUUCAUCGACUUUGUCUCCACAAUCAGAUGAUGAGAUUGAGUACAUGUCACAUGUUCCAUACUCUAGUGCAGUAGGAUCUCUCAUGUAUGCUAUGGUUUGUUCACGUCCAGAUUUAUCAUAUACAGUCAGUGCAGUUAGCAGAUACAUGGCGAAUCCCGGUAAAGAAAAUUGAAAAGCAGUUCAAUAGAUUUUAAGAUACUUACGAGGUACUACUGAUGUUUACUUACAGUUUGGAAGAACUAGAGAUUGAGUCAUUGGGUAUGUUGAUUUUGCUGGAGACCUUGAUAGAAGAAGAUCUCUUACAAGUUAUGUCUUUACAAUCAGAGAUUCUGCAAUCAGUUGGAAAGCCACUUUGCAAACUACAAUCGCUUUGUCUACCACUGAAGCUGAGUACAUGGCGAUUACUGAGGAUUGUAAAGAAGCUAUUUGGUUUAAGAGACUCUUUAGUGAACUCAAUGAAGACCUUCAAAUCAAUAGAGUAUUUUGUGACAGUCAGAGUGCCAUCUUCCUCACAAAAGAUUAAAUGUUUCAAGAGAGAACAAAAUACAUUGAUGUUCGGUAUCAUUUUGCUCGUGAAAUUAUUGCUCGUGGUGAUAUUAUUGUGAGCAAAAUUAGUACUCAUGAAAAUCCUACAGAUAUGAUGACUAAGUCACUUCCUAUAACCAAGUUUGAGCAUUGCUUAGACUUUAUUAGUGUUCAUUGUUAAAGUUAAACCCAUAAAGGGUUUUACGGAAGAGGUAGAGAACUUGUUCGUUGAGAGUUCGCGAUGAAGAAUUUGUUCAUUGAGAAUUCGUGUCAAGGUGGAGAUUGUUAAAAUUAAUUACCCGAAUCCUUAUUUAAAUAAAAUAAAGUGUUAAAAUAAAAUAAAAGUAAAAUACCUAUAGAACUACACUUCUUUUAUUUUAUUUUAGAAUAAGGUUUUUUAAACCUUAUUAAACUCCAUCUAUUUGAUAUUGAUUAGAAUAACUACACUCCUAUUAGAAUAUGAUUUUAGAAGCCUGUAAAUAGACAUAAUCUACUUCUCUUGUAAUUAUUUCGAAUUCGACAUAGUGAAUUAUCUUCUUCUCUGCCCGUGAUUUUUUUCCGAAAGGGUUUCCACGUAAAAAUCUGUGUUCUUUAUUUUUAUUUCUUUUUUCUUUGCGAUAUAUUGUCAUUACCAACAUACUAUUUUUACAUUAAUAAUGACGGGGUGGUAGAGAUGAUACGAAUCACAAGAGCAUUGUUGAUUUAGACGUGGAUGAAUUGAAGCGUGUUAUGCAAGUAAACGUGAGAGGUGUGGCACUAGGGAUUAAACAUGCGGCAAGAGUGAUGAUUCCCCAAGGUGGAGGAGGGUGCAUUAUUUCCAGGACUAGUGUUGCUCCACAUGCUUACACGGCAUCCAUGCACGCCAUUGUUGGGUUGACCACGGCUUGUGAAUUAGGGAGGUAUGGGAUUAGAGUGAAUAGCAUAUCUUCAUUGGUAUUCCAUGAAUUAAUAGAGCAAUGCAUGAAUUCUGGGAGUCCAGGUUCAGCAGACAUGGCAGCUCUAUACCUUGCUAGUGGCGAAGCCAAGUAUGUGAGUGGUCAUAAUCUUUUUUUGGAUGGAGGGUUUAGCAAUUAGCACAUCAACUAUUUGCCUUGGCAUUUAAUAAUAUUUUAAUCUCUGGGUGCAUUGUCUGUGCCUCGCUGUAACUCCAAAGUCAAAAGUGAGAUCUUGCUUGCUUUUGUUUUAUUAUAUAUGCAUGUGGUAAACACGCCUAUAAUGUGACUUUUUUUUUUGCAAUUAGUCGACGGUAGAUGGACAAAUUCAUUUAAUUUUCCUAAUUCCUCCACCUACCUUGCAUGCAUAAAACACUAGUACUCAUUCUUAUGCCAAAUUCAAUAUUUACAUCAUCUACAUUAUUGAUUAUUUUCGUUAAAGUAAAAAAACAUUGUAAAUAAUUACCAGUUAACUUUUUAUUAGAUUAAAUUGUUUGAUUAAAAAUUUUCAAUAAAAUCUUUAAGAAUUUGACCCAAAAAUACAUUAUGUAUAAAUAAAGUCAAAAAAAUUUAAAUUUUAGCGUUUGGAUAGUUAAUCCACAACGAAAGUCACGUGCACUUAAAAUCUGUAACUCGAUUUAGAAAUGUUAAAUAAUUAAAAUGAUUUUAUGUGGAGAAUUAUGAUCUUCAUUCUUCAAUCAAAGUUAGCCAACCCAUAUCAAAAUUAUUAAUUGCUCCUUCAACUCCCACACUUACUAUCAAUAUUUUUUCACGUCAAGCCUCAUUUCUUUACAUGUGAGGGCUUUAACAAAAAACUUUACUUAUUAAAGACUUAAUUGAUAUGAGUCCUUAAAAGAAUGAAGAAUACAAAAGCCACUACACUACACUACAAGGACGGUUGAUGAAUUAACCAACAAAUAAUAUAGGGAUUUGAAAGGUGAAAUAUGGGGGUGGCUACACUUGAGUCCAAAUCUAAACAAUUUACUAGUUGGAUUGUGCUAUUCAUAAAAAACCUUGCAAGCAUUAGGCAUUACCCGGCCCAUAUAAAGUAGGUAUGCCUCAUAGCUGAGCCAGAGCUCAGUCUGGCUUUUAAUUCUUUAUAGAGGUAGAGAGGGAGGGCGUAGCUUCAGCCACAGCGGCUCUGCUUAAUUAAUUAAGUAAUUAAAAGAGCAGUAAAUGGAUUUGAUUUGAUGUGUCCACCGCUACUAACGCGUGUCACCUUACAUGCCAUCGCUUCUGACUCAACAUUACUUAUUACUCACCAAUUUCAUAUUACCAUCCCAUUCAAUUGAACCUCAAAGUAGAACUUGUUCAAGCAAGCCCCUCAUGCGAAGAAGGUCUCGUACAAGAAAGACCGGUCAAGGCGGCGUCAUCAACAUGGAUGAAGCCAGGAGGGAAGUUGCCCAUGCCUUGCAUCUCCAUAGGUCCACUCCCACAUCACCAUUACCAUCUUCUGGUGUAGGUAAUCCCUCCUACUACAGCUAUGCUAAGUCAUGUUGUUACUCUUUGGUGGAGGCUAUGCCCCCUCCUGAACCAAUAUGGUCAACUACUGCACCUUCACUGCCUGCUACACCACCUCCAGACUUGGAAACAGUGCAGAUUUUAGAGUGGGGUGAAAAUCAGGCUGCUUCUUACGCUUGGUGGUUAGGUUUUCUUAGGGCAUUAGAUGGUAACAACAACAUUAUGUCCAAAACAAAGGAUCCACCUUUUGUUGAUAAUGCUGUGAGCCUGAAGGAUCAUUCUCCACUACUGUUGGGGCAGUAUGAAGCUGGGGAAUGGGGCCUAACUGAUCAAAACGCAUGUUUAGAUGAAUGGCUCAUGUUUCCACCUACCCAAGAUAGUUUGUGAGAUGAAACAAAUAUAUUAUAUUUCUGAUUAAAUUAAGUAGCUGAUGCUCCCACUUUCAUGUUGCUUUUUGCUGCUACAUCCCUUCAAAUUUCUAUCUCGCUCAGAUUUUAAAUACUGUUACUGUUUUUUAAUUUAAUUAUAUAUAUAUAUAUUUACACUAUCUUGAAAGAAACGGAGGAAAUUGAAUCGAAUAAAAAUGUAAGUUUAAUAAUUGUGAUUAAUUAAAAUCAAAUUGAAUUCUUUAUUUAAUAUAUAAUUAAUUUUAUUUUUUACAAUACGAAAUAAAUAUUUUAUAUUUAAAAUAGUAAAAUAAGUAAAAAUUUCUUGAAAAUUAUUAUAUUUUAAAAAUAUUUGUGAAAGUGACCUCGUCAAAUGAUAUUCAAAAGCUGACAAAAUAAAAUCUAUUUUAUUAAAAUAAAUCUAAAAAAUAAAAAUAAAAAUAAAAAAUAAUAUAAAAAAUCGAAAGUUAAACCGAAUCAAAGAAACUAAUGUUUAACAUAAACUUGGGAAAUUUACAAAAAAAGAAUACUAAAUACUAAAAUAAUAUAGAUUUAUUUUUAUUUACUCAAAUGAUAAAAAUAUAUUUAAAAAAAUGAAAAAUAAAAGAUUAUAAAAAAUAAAAACUUUAAAAUUUGUUUUUUUAAAUUAAAAAAAUUAAAAUUUCAUGUUAAAAGAUUCUGUGAAAGGUAAAAGAUUGGUUGACUCACUGAUUUCUAAUCCGACCGGUCCAAUUCAGUUUUAAAGGGUAUGGACCAAAUUGAUAGAAGAAUAUUGUAAAUGUUUAAUAUUUAAAAAAUUUAAAAUCUGGUUGACCUAUGAACUAGUACGGAUUGAUUAAUCUCGAGUUUAAAAAAAAUCAUUUGAUCUACCAAUUGAAUCGAUUUUUAUAAUUUUAUAAUUUAUUUGCUUUGAACCGCUCAGGUCAAUCAUUCUCGAAACCAGUCAUUCUCGAAACCAAUUGGUUAGAUCAAUUUGAAAUUGGUUCAAUCGAUAAAAAUAAAAAUAAAACCACAAACUUCUUUCUACUUUAUUUAUUUUUCUAUCCUUUUUCAUUUUUCUACUUUUAAUUCCAUUAGUUAUUACAAACAGCUUUCUCUUUGUCUCUUUCCCUACAUUUUCACCUACAUCCAAGCUUUCUAUCUUUCCCUUUUUCUUUUUUUUUCUCUUUGUGCCUCCAUCCAACUAAAUAUACGAUGCUUAGCUACAAUAAAUUAUAGAUGAAAGUUUCUUAGUAAUAAGACAAAACUAUCAAAUUCGGUCCUCAACUCUUGGGUUUUGGAUUUUUCAUACACUUUUUACUGUUUCAAAACAACAGAAAUAAGGACCAACCUUAGUAAGCCAUUAAUUCAUUUUCAAAUACAAACCAUGCUUGAAAUCUACUCAGCUUAGAGCAACAAAACCAGUAAGUUCUGAUUCAUCAUCCACUAGACCUAGAAUUGCUUGUUCAUUUAUCUUUUCCAUGGGUUGGGGCCUAUUAAUUAAUUAGAGCUUCAUGAAUCUGGACUGAUGAGUGGUAGACCAAGAUGCGUGGUCCUCAUCUUUAUUACUAUACAAGAAACUGAAAUGAAUUUGAACAAGUACUCAAUCAUUAGUCCAGCUCCAUCAUAAUAUAUACCUAACAUAUCCUUCAACCAGACUGCAAUUAGAUACUACUACCACAUAUGUCUUUGCAGGCUCCUGGGCCCAUCUCUCAUUAAUGCUACUCAUCAGGUUUUUAUUCAUGCAUCUAGAUCUUGUGGAACUGAUUUAUAAAUAGGUAUUUGGCAUUCAUCAACACAAGUCCAUUCGGUUACAACAUCAAUACCAAUACCUUUUUAUUAUUCUUUUGAAAACACUAUUAAGUAAAAUAAUCAAGGAAAAGAGAGCACCACUAAAUUCAGAGCCAAUACUUUCUUUUCAUACACCUUUGCCUACUGCUCCACUUCUCGAUUGAUGCCAUUAACAUCGGACAGAACUCAUAUUAGGUGGCACAGUAUCAUAAACUAUACAAUUUUCUUGGAAUAAAGUCUCUUACUCGGUGAGUAACUCUAUUAGCACUCCGACGGAUCCAGUGAAAGUAAAUGUGUUGGAAAGAGGACACAAGCCAGUAAUCAAACCAACCUUAGGGCUAAGUAAAGUAUUCGAUUGUAAAGCAGUAAUCACCUCAAUGCAGUCAAAUUCCACAACUAUAUUAUUGAAACAGCAAGUUUUAAGCCACCAAAGGGCCUCGCGGAUACCCAACACUUUGGCGAUUGCUGCUUGACAUGCUGCCAUUAGCUGCCUCGACAUCCCUAAUGAACACCCCAAGCGAAUCACGAAGCACAGCCCCAUUUCUCGCCCUCAGACCAAUGGCGCUCCAUGUCGCAUCAACGUUACAUUUAAGCACUAGCCGAGGGUCAACUCCAUGCAACAACAGUGAAACUAGGCUACGACAUAACAACGGGUAACAAACGUUGGUACACCGUUUGUGAAGCUGCCCAAUUAUUGAUAAAAUGCGCAAUAAAGGCAACAAUGAUCUUCUGUAAUUUGAAACGUUAAAUUAGGCUCUUUUGAACACUUUAUUAGUUUGCUCUCAAACAAUUUACGAAUCUUUUCUAUGUUAUUUUAUUUUUAGUUUUUAGUAUUAAUGACUGUUUUUCUUUCAUUUCAAUCCUUUUGAGACCCAAAUAGACAAAAUUUUGCCAUUGGGAGUCUAAUGGUGUAUUUGAAUUUGUGUAGGGACACAUUUAUGGCCAAACCAUGAGGAAAACUGCAACUAAUGUGGGUGUUGUGACACCAACCCUUUAUCACCUCAAGGGAGCAAAACUUCAACCAGAAAUCAACUUGGAGUAGUCUACCACGGAUGUCGCAACACUAAGUGUGCUGUGUCACAACACCGAGCCUGAGGUCUCAACUCCAAGCUUUCGAGGUCGCGGCUCCACUGCUGAUGGUUGAAGUGAAGGAUCCAGGGCCACUGUUUAGGGUGUUGCGACACCAGAUAGCCUGUGUUGCGACAUUGAGAACCCCCAAAGCCAAGAUUGUACUAUUGUCAAGAGUGUUGCGACACUGAUGUCUCACGAGGUGAAAAAUACUACAAGAGCAAUUUUAUGUCCACCAACUCAAGUCAAUUCAUGCACUCCAAAGACACUUUUGUCAAAAUAUUAGAGUUAUAACUUGGUGUCUUAAAGGCACACUUGAUGCCAAACAUAAAGGAGCCACAUUUAUCAUCUUUUUAGUUUUCCCUUUUUCUUUUCUUUCACCAUUUUUAGGUUUUGAGUUCUUUCUUUUCUUACCUUAGUUAAUUGGUAGCUGUUAGUUUUUUUAGUUUUACUGUAACUUUAACUUUCUUGCAAUUAGAUACAAAAACUCAUACUGUUAUUUUGAUUUCUCUUUAAAAGCAUCCAAUAGAUUUAAACUUUGUGAACUUUCAAAAAUGUAAAAAUCUCAACUUUGACUAUGCUUUCAUCAUUGUUAGAAUUAAGUGACACGAAUCUUUAUUUAAAUAAAAUACAGUGGUAAAAUAAAAUAAAAGUAAAAUCCAUAUAGAACUACAUGGAAAAACCCAAUUUUUAGGCUUUUUGAGCAUUCUAAAGUCUAUAAAUAUCAAUUAGAAGAGAACUUAAGGGUAUAGACAGAAAGACUGAAGAAAAUACUCGAAGAACGCCAUCAGAAUCAUCUCAGAAGCAGAUCUCCUUCAAGAUUGAAGAUCUCCAUUUAAUUUCUUUAGAAGUUUUAUUGAGUUUCUUUAUGUAUUGUUGUUAUCUUAACUUUGAGAUGUUUCUAUUUAGGAUGAUGAACUAAAUUCCCUAGAUACCUAGGGAAGAUGAAACCUAUGAUGAAUCUUAUUAUUUGAUUUCUAAGUUACAUGAUAAAUACUUGAUUCUUGUUCUCAAUUAUGUAUGCUUUUUUCAUAUUUUAGUAUUUUCAGGAUAUUAAUUCAUGUUUAAUGUACUUAAUUAGUGGAGAAAAAGUCUUUGUUUAAGAGUAGAUCUAGCAUAAUUAAGUGGAAUUGCAUGUAAUCCUAGAAAUAGGAUGACAUAAAUCUACCGGAUUAGAGUCAAAUCUAAUAGGGGAAUCCAUAGAUCAAGUUAAUGCGACAAUAAGAGUUUUAAUUAGAAAGAGAUUUCAAUUAAUUAACCUAGAGUUAGUUGUUCUUACUCUCGAAAGAGAUAUAUGAUUUAGGGAUUUCUACGGAUCAAUGCAUAAGCGAAUAAAUCGUUUAAUUCAGAUUCAUAAUAAUAAGUGGAGUCUAGGUGGAUUCUUUCCUGGGUAUUGUCUCUCUCAUUGGUACCGUCGAUUAUUUUCCUAUUUUAUUCUCUGUUGCGUUUUUAGUUAAAUUAGUUUAGUAAUUUUAGAAUAAAAACAAUCACUUCAAUUUAUAGGCUAAAUGAUAGAAAAAACGGUAAUUACUUGUACUUUUAGUCCUCGUGGAUACGAUAUUCCUACUCCCCAUAACUAUACUAUUGUUCGAUAGGUGCGCUUACCUUAGUUGUAUUUAUAGUUAGUUUAGUGAUCAUCAGAAGUGCAUAAAAAAAUAGAUAUGUGAAAUAUGAUAUUGUGAUGAAAUGUUUUUUUAAAGUAUUAUGUGAUAGUGAAUUUGAAUAAAGGGUGAAACUAGCAUGAUAUUGUAACAAUUAUUGAAUUUUUAUAAUGUUAAGGAUUAAAUCAUAAGAUAUUCAGAAAUGACUGUAAGUAUUAAAACUGUUGAAAAGAAUUACUCAAGUGAAGUGUUACAUGGAAGAGAAUUCAUUUAAAGUGUCUAAGUAUUGGAUAUUGAAUUUUGUGGCAAAAAAGGACUAAAUUGAAAACUAUGUGAAAGUUUUACGUGUUAUUAUUUGAUAAGUGAAAAUGAUGUACAGAGUACGAAACAUAUGAUGUAUUAUGGACCAAGAAUUUAGUGAAUAAAAUCUCGUGAUUAUUGUAAUUAAAAUUUACAAUUAAACUUUAAAUCAUGAAAAUGAGGACUAAAUUGAAGAAGUAUAAAAGUGUAGCUAAAUUAUGAAAAUCAUGAAAUAAAUACUAGUAUGAAUAAAGAUUGUGGUUAUUCAUCAAAUUGGAGUGUAAAGGAAAUACUAUUGAAAAUUUUAAUGUUUGAAUUUAUAUGUUCAUGGAAUGUUAAAAUAGUAAAUUAGAGCAAAAAAAAGUGUGAAAGUGUAAUAAAAUUGUGAAAAUCGUGGAACGAAGUAUUUGUGGUUGAUGUAAAUUUAGUAAUAUUCAAAUGCCCAUGUAAACUAGUGUUGAUCUUCAUGGAUAUAGUUGACAUGCCAUAGGAUCUCGAACACUCCCGUGUUAUUCGUGAUAUCAUACUUCAGUGCCUCCUAUUUUGUUAAUGCACUUAGGUGCUCGUGUUUCUAGCACUUAUGUGGUCCAUGUAUUGUAAUAUGUUCCAUGUAUCCAUAUCAUUCAUACGUGUCUAGCAUGGGUUAGUAAGUCGUGCUAAGUAUUUUUUAUAAAAGUUCUUGUUAAAUCGUAAAAUGAUAAAUUAAUGAAUUAAAAUGUUAGUGAAAUUUGUAAUUAUUGAAGAACUUACUGAUUAUUAUGAUAUAUUCAUGAAUAAUAAUAUUACCAUUGUUAAUGUUAAAUAAAUUAAAGCUAUGGUAAGAUUUGUUUUCAUAGGUACUUACUAAGCUAUUAUAGCUUUAUGCGUUAUUAUUUAACGCAUAAGUGAAAGAUCAGACUGAAACCUUUGAUAGAAGAUCGUCAUCAACAUCUCAUCACAUCUCCAAGGCUUGAAAGAGAGUAUGGAAUUAAUAUUUUGGGUUUUAGAUUAUGGCAUGUACAUAGCUUUAAUAAUGAAGUAAGUAGAGAGUGUUUAGUUGUUUUAAUAUUCGAGUUAAUGGUGUUUUGAAUUGAAAAUACAAUGUAUUAUAUAGUAUAUAAGUUUUGUUUACUGUGUUGGAUUGAUGGUGGACAAUUUUGAUAUAAUUCGAAAGUUUUUGAAAACAAAAUUUUCAAGUCUCCUGUCCUAGUCUCGAGACAUACAAAAGUGUCUCAAGACACAAGAACUUCGAAGCUAAAAAGCUACAAUAUCAUGGUCAUGUCUCGAGACAUACACUCAUUUGUCUCGAGAUAAGAUAACUUCGAAACUAAAGUUUUACAGUAACAAGACACUAUCCCGAGACAUUCAAGCCCUUGUCUCGAGACAUAUAGACCUAAAACUGAAAAUUUUUAGUUGAGCCAAAAGAGAUCCGAAACAAGUUUGAAAUGGAAUUAAACGUUAUUGUUAGCCUAAUUAAGUUCUAAAAAGGGUAAUGUGACCUUAAUAAAGGUCCAAAUAAAUAUAGAAAGGAAUGUUAAGUGCUAAAUUUAACAUUCAUUACUCUUGAUUAAUAAUAAUUCUUAAAUAAUAUGGCGUACGUGCUACAGUCAACCCUCUCUAUAACAGCUUCAUUUGUUUGCCUAAAUUUUGCCUAUUAUAGAGAGGUGACUAUUCUACACCUAUAAUAGCAUGUUGUUAUAGAGAGAUAAUCGUUAUAAGAUUACAAUAGAAUUCAUAUUGUGAAUUUCUAUCAAUAAAGAAAGUGUGAAUUAUGUUAAAAGAAGAAGAAGAAGAAAGAAAGUAGGAAUAGGUGCAUGCAUUAUUGCUUUUAUGCAUAUUUUAUUUUGCAUUCUUUCACAUGAGUAAUUAUAAAGUUCAUAAAUUUAACAAAUUCAAUUAAUUAAUUAAUUUAUCAUGAGAUACUAAAUUCAAGUAAUUAAUUUAUAAGUGUAUGAUGUUCCAAAUUCAUAGUAGAAUAUUUAAUUAGAGAACUUAAUAGUUUCUUGAACUAAUAUCUUUAAUUCCACUCAUUGAAUAUUAUUUUCAUUUAAUAAAUGAUAAUUAAUAGGCUUGCUUACAUGAAAUAACUAUAAUUUCACUUAAAAUUUUAGAGUAUAUGUUGUUGUAGAGAACUAAUUUAAUAAACAACAUACUCCAUAACUAUAGAUAUUACUAUUAUAGAAGGUUAAAAUAAAAUAUAAAAAAUCGGUUCUAGAAACUUGACUAUUAUAGCGGGUGACUGUUAUAGAGAGGGUUGAUUGUAUCUUUAUAGAAGAAUUCUAAAAAGUUCAAUUUCUUGAUUUAUCACUUAAUUAAUUUAAUUCAAUUUAAAAUGGAUAAUAAUGUGGUAUGGUUUUAGUUGGUGUACAAAUACACACUUAGAUUAUUCUAACUUGUGGAUGUCAUUUAGCCGUAAGUCCCUUAUAACCCUAAAAUUUGGUACAAUUGGUCUGUUUAUGGGAAUUCGAAAUAGUGAACAAUCAUCUAUCCAGAAAAACAAUUACAGGCUAACCAAUAUGCAAAAUCCGUAGAUGAUAGGCACCCCUCGCCUACUGAGAUUUGUGAAGUCCCUCAACCUGGAUUUAGUUUGUGGAUGAGACGAAAGAUUUGGAAGAGUAACAAUCUAUCUCCUACCUGCUACACUAUUGUCAAUUGGUUGUUUGAGACAGAGAAGGUGCCAAUAAUACAACAGCUAUUCAAUCAUGGCCAUUAAUUCAUCAACCAAGGUUCCCACUUCCCACUUCAAUACUGCACACGAGGGGGAGGUUGGAUCCAACUGGUGCUCAUAAAUUUAUGCAUGACCACGUACAUAUUGUCACUGUCUAUCUCUAAUCUCAUUCAAAUAUUCCAUGGAUUUAACUAAUUGUCAACAUUGGUCGUUCAAAAUGCAAUAUUAUUGCAGAAGCUUCGUGUCGGUAUGGUCUAAUCUGACACUAGUUUAUGCCACUUUUGAUACUUUGGUUAAAAGGUGUAGAUGACAAAUUCAACAUUUUAAGACCCUCAAAUUUGAUUUUCUAUCAAUUCAUCUGCUGCUUAAUUUUUUUUCGUAUCAGCUUGAAAAUGGGUGUUAAAUUACGAAGCAAAGCCAUUUACGAACUGUCUGUUAAUGGUGAAUUAUAUAUAUGAAAAGAGCCAUCAAAAUUAACUGUACAUGCACUGCAUGCGAGCUGAAGGUGAUGGCGUGACUGCCGCCAACCUGGCGCCUUUUCAGCCUAUUUUAACUACGAGGAUAAUGACUGAAAGGGAUAUCUCAUCUCCCUCGCUCUCAAGUCUCAACUACUCUCAGCCCAUUUUCAUUUCAAAGCUUGGCCAAAAAUCACGGUCUAAUUACUUGUUGCGAGUCGGGAUUUAUACUCAAUUUUGCAGAUGGAUAUGUAAUUAGUAGAGUAAAUUAAACAAUUGUCACCAGUCCAUCAUAUUUCUAGGAAUUAACACACCAAUAAAGGAGAUGCCAAAUACAUAUAUGAUAUUCAAUCAAGACAUGUUUUUUCUUUUGCAAAUUAAUUAAACAAUUGUCACCAACCCAUCAUAUUUCUAGGAAUUAACACACCAAUAAAGGAGAUGGCAAAUACAUAUAUGAUAUUCAAUCAAGACAGGUUUUUUCUUUUGCAAAUUUAGUAAUUACCUGAAGAAACCAAACAUCAAAGAACAAAACACAUAGAAAAACAGAAGGAAUAUAAGAGAUACUCUCGGUUGCAUCCAAAAGACGCCGUCUUUCAUUGGGUGCAGCCAAAUCCUAAUGCAAGACCAACUUAAGCCUCGUCUUAAGGCUAAAUUCUAAAAUGGAACGUCAACAAUUAAGCAAGGUCACAAACUAAUUUCUUCCUGCUCUCAAUACACUAAAGUUCGAAUUUAGCAGAUUUAUAGCUAUCUACGACAGCUACUAACUACAAAAUUUGAACCCUGCAUCAUUUGUUCCCAGGAAGUGAAUUAAUUUCUUUAUUAAGAAUGUGUCAUUUUAUCAUUUAGAUAGAUCGAUUGCCAUGUCAUUCGUAGCAAGGGACCCAUUUUUGCUAUAAAAAGCCUGCACUUUAGGACUUAUUCCAUACUCAAAAUUUAUUUCUAAUUCCUUGCUAGCUUUACAAUAUCCUCUCUUGUAAUUCCUAAUUUGAGCUUUGCCAGCUCACUCUCUUUUUUUGUUUUUCAUUUGCAAACCAGAUAAUGGAAUCCAAAAAGAAUGAAGCUAGGGUCUCAAACCCAGAAAUGCAAAAUAAGGCAAUUGUGGAUACACUUUAUAAAGCAUUGGCACAUGGUGACACCAGCACCGUUGUCAAACUUCUAACAACUGACCUGGAAUGGUGGUUCCAUGGGCCUCCUCGGUGCCACCAUAUGAUGCGGAUGCUCACCGGGGAGUCCAGCCACAGCGAGUUUAGGUUCGAGCCAAGGAGCAUCGAGGUGGUUGGUGAUUGCGUGAUUGCAGAGGGUUGGGAAGGAGCACAAGUGUAUUGGGUACAUGUAUGGACAUUGAAAGACGGUUUAAUUACCCAAUUUAGGGAGUACUUUAAUACAUGGCUGACUGUGAGGGAUGUGAAGCCGCCUCGCUGGGAAAUCGGGAGCGACAACCACACUCUGUGGCAGAGCCAGCCUAGGGACUUGGCACGCCGCUCAUUGCCUGGCCUUUUGCUAGCCAUAUAGGAAGCUAGUUAUGCAUGGCUUGGGAGUGGGACAUUGCAUGGAAAUGGUCAAAAUGGAAUUGCAUUAAGCAUAUCUAUAAUAUAUAUGUGAACUGUAAAUUAUGUAACCAUGUUUUGCAUGCAAGCAAGCUUUUGUUUGAUAUGUAUCUCAUUGGGUUUUAGUUCUAAUGUAUUCGGGUCUUUGUAGCUCCCUUUCCUUUGAUUAUAACGAUUUACAUAAUGAAUGAAAUUGCAUCUUCGAAAAUAAAAGUAACCAUGUUUUGCAUAUGAGCAAGCUCUCAAUUAUUGAAAAAGAAGGCACCACUUUGUUAUUUAUUUUUGCUUAAUGGAACUUUUUCAGAAAAAUUAAAAUAAAAGCUUCUGAAGUUACUUUUUUACUCUCCAAAAAGUUCUUUUGACGUCUAAAACACUUCUAAAAGGGCUUUUGAAGUGAAACCAAAAAACAGAUUAUAAGGUGCUUCUUAAAGAAGUGCUGCCGUCUGUAUGAAACAUGCUGGAAAAAUAAAAUGAAAAUAGAGACCAAAGGCUGCCGCCCUCGCCUGGGCCUGGGCAGUAAGAAGUUAAGGUAAUUCAUAGUCCCUUACCUGGCAUUUGGAAUUUGUUGAUCAGGAUAUUAUGGGAUCUUUUAUGCUAUCGAAAAAAGAAAAACGAUGAAGAACUAAAAGUGGAUAACUGUUGCUUCUUAGAGAUAGAUAUAUAACUAAAACGAUUCUAGCAUCUCUUUCUAGGCUUUUAUUUUUGGAACACAUGUUGAUUUCCUCUUCCUGCAUGUUAUAAAUUAAAACAGCAGACUCAUGCAGAUCAUGACCGUAGCUGCUACUUGUAAUAUCUGUGUGGACUAGAGGUGAAAAGUGCAAAGUUCAGCAAUAAGGAUUGCUGGUUCUAUAUAAAAGUGGAAGCUACACUUGAGAAAAAUGUACAUAGAUUGCAUUGAUAACCGAUCUACUAGUAUCUAGCGAUAUGGGGACUACGAGACUCAUCAGAGUACAAAAUGGGAAAUGAAAAAAGAAAGUUAAUUUUGACAAUUGUUUCCUCCCGCCAAAUGUUUGUACAUAGUAAUUGCAUUAUUCCUUCACUAAAUUACACUACACUACAAUAGUAACCGUAUUAGCCUUCUCUAAUUUGGGAAAAGACUCCACGAUAGUUUUUCAAGAGUCUAUUUGUGUCAGACUAAAAUUUUAAUCCCGUUAGUAAGUAUCAGAAUAUUUGAAGAUACGGUUGAGAUAACGAAAGGAGGAGAUAAAGUAGCAGAUCAAGAAAUUUUGUGUUUGUUUUGAAAAGUCAAGUGACCAAUAUUGAGGAAUUCAUGGAUGAUGUGAAGGAAACACUCAAGGUAAUAAAAGGACACACCGCUAAGUUAGAGUCAAUGAGAGAGCAACUCAGGGAUUAUGUGAUGGAGACUCUUAGUUUCAAUUGGGAUGCAAUGAGAGAGACUCUCAAUGUGAUCAGACCGAGAAGCUGACUAAGAAAAAUUAUGCUCUCAAGAAAAAUUGAGGUCAUGAUAUAAAAAAUUUAAGAAGAAAACUGAGAAUGCUGCCUUGGAUGGUCGUGGCUUUGAAGAAGAAAACUGAGGUCAUGAUGUCAAAAUUUUAAGAGCUUCAGAGAGAGCUCGUUGUAUGCAGAGUUCAGAGUGAAUGAGGUCCGCAAGAGAUGUAGACAAUUUUCUCUAGGAACGGAACAAUACUUCUGUGCGAUGGGGAUAAUACUUCUGUUUGAUGGGGAUCAAAGAUGAUGCUACUAAGAUAAAUUGUUGUAGUUUAUUUUACUAAUGUCGCUAUCUUAUGGACAUCGUACGUCCACAAAUGAGACCGAGGUGAGACUGCGAUCGGAACUUAGAGGAUUUCCAAAAGCAAUUCAAAAAGCAAUUUUAUCGUCAAUAUGUCAAGGAGGAGACUCAGGCUAAUUUGCAUUAGCUUACGCAAUAAUAUACUGUUUAGGAGUAUAUCAAAGUCUUUAGUGAAUUGGUAUUUCAAAGAUCUUAUUUAAGUAAAAUAGAAGCAUACUAUUGAUUUAAGCAUGAGUUAUAUUUGUGGGCAAAAUAAGAAUUGCGCUGACAAAGCAUCACUGAACUUACUGUAGUCAUGACCGAGAAGCAUCAAAGUCAUUCUAAAUUUAGGUUUGAGCCGAGGAGCAUCAAGGUCAUAGAUGAUUGCAGAGGGUUGGGAACGAGCACGAGUGCAUUGGAUACAUGUAUUGACUUUAAAAGACGAUUUAAUAUGAAUAUAAAUGUUCCCGAAGCAAAGCCUAUAGGUGUUACAAGCAAAAACACAAAAGAAACUCGAACAAACAGAUAAGCGACACUAAUGUCGUCCAAAAAGGCAUACAAAAGCCAUCUCUAAACAGGUGCAUACUAAAAUUUCCUCUGUUCAGAUCUUUUUACAAAAGAAAAUAUUUUCUCUAAUGGUUUACUUUGUUGGCUGGUAUAAUUAGCUCUAUCAUUAAGUAUAUAGGAUCCUCUGAUUCAAUGUCGAUUUAUGAGUUACUUUCAUACUCCUUCGCAGGACUGACAAUGGAAUAUACUUCUGCUAUUGUUGCAGCAGCUACCACAAAUGAAGAGGCAGAUCCCAUCCUCAGGCAUUUGGAACCAUUCCGAAGGUAACUCUACCAGGACUUCUGAUAAUUCUACUGCAUUUCCAUUUGAAACCAAUUUUAUCACCCAAAUGGUGGCGAAUCAGAAUAUUGAAAGUUAUGAAUGGAUACAAUAUUACUGCUGCUGCUCUCUUAAUACCCCUUCAUCAGAUUUGGUUUGGUGCACAACUCACCAGAAUCUUGUUUUCUCCGACCCACUCCCAUCUUUUCAUUUUCACGAUUAGAUGGUAUUUUUUCUAACUCAACCAGACAAAAUGUAAAAAUUAUAAUCACUUGUCAAAAGAGAAUGGCCACAUAUCAACCCAGGUGUUUACUUUACAGCUGCCAUAUUCCAUCUAAUACAUGUUUGGUUUCAGAUAACAAACCAAGAUAAGCAAUUGCAAAAAAAUACAUUACAUAAGAUGUUCAGACUUGAAGAAUUAAUCCUGAAAGGAAAAAAGAAAUUAGCAAAGCUAAACUCCUUAGUCCAAACCUGAGGUUCAUUUAUACUCCACUUGUUAUCUGCUGUAUGCUCUUCCUGGACAGGAACAUUACUUUUUUCAAUGAGGUAAGGGUUCUACAAUCCCCAGCUACUGGUAAGGAAAUGGAACUUACUACUAGGAGUCUGGGAGAGGGCCAUUUUCUUCCACUUAAUCUUUUGUUUACUUCUCUGUUUCUUUGUUUUAAAGUCAAAAGAUACCUGUACCAGAACCAACUAUGAACCACUAAGAAUUUUGUUUUGCUCGUCUCUCUUUGCGUCUACUGCAAGUCUUUCUCACUCUCACCCUUCUUUAAGGAACAAAAGUGAAAGGUCUAAGAAAUGGUCUUUGAUUCCGAAAACACAAGGUUGAUAGACCUCUCUAACUUGCAGCAUUAUUCAAAGUGGAUUUACCAAAUGAAAUUUGGGUCUGGAUUCAGAGCUAAGAAGAAGUGCUUCCCAAACCCUAGCCCCGGGAGAAAUACUCCUUUCAACCAUUUUCCCAAGCAAUUCCCGUGCCUUGCAGACUAAUCCUCUUUGGCAUAGGCCACAGAUUACCUCAUCAAAUGUCAAACUCUUGAUGAAAAUACACUUGUGCAACACUUCCUCCACCAAGGCACAUGCUUCAAGAAUUUCACCAUUACUUACCAAACCAUCAAUUAUUAUCGUAUAUGAAACCCAAUUCAUUUCAAUGCCCUUAUAUUUCAUCUCUUUAACAAGCUCCCUAGCUCUACUUAUCUCACCAGCCUUAGAAAUUGUCCUCAAUAACGUAUUAUAAAUGAGAACAUUAGGUUUGCACCCUAACUCCUCCAUACAGGCUACCAUCUUGAUACCCUCUUCAACUUUAUUUUGCUUGCAUAAAGCGUCUAUAUAGGCUUUAUAAGUAUAAACAUUCGGAACCAAACCCAACAUAAGCAAUUCAUCAAACAGCUCAUCUGCCAAUAUGUAAUCUCCUUCAGCAGUUACCCCAUUUAAGACCAUAGUGUAAGAUAUAAUACCGGGCAUUAUUCCAUCGGAUUUCAUUUGAUUUAGAACAUCCCAAGCAUCCAAGCCUCUCCCUUUUUUCACCAAAAACCUAACCACGCCAUCAUAGUCACCCAUGGCGGGAGAAAACCCAAGCUUUCGCAAUCCCCUCCAAAAACCAAUAACGUCUUCACCAUCCAAAUCACCCUCAGCACAAACUGAUGACAGCACAAAAGAGAAAACUUUAUCAUUGACACCAAGUCCAUCGUCUAACAUACGUUGUAGAAUCUCUAUAGCAUAAGCAACCUUGUUCAUUCUACAAAGAGUGCAAACUAGUAGACGGAAAGUAGAUUCUUCGAGCCUUAUGUUCAUAUGCAGACUGUUUAAGAGAACCUGAGGGAGUAGCUUAAGGCCACGUUGACUUCUACAAAGAAGUGCGAGUAAAGCAUUGAGAGAAUAAGCUGAAGGGAAGCACCUGAAUUGGGGUAUUCGGUAGAAAAUAUCAACCGCGUCCUGGAUUCUAUUAGCUUUGCCAUAGAAUUUGACGAGGUGGGUAAAAAUGUACUCGGGUGUUUGAAAGUGUUGGAGUUGGAGGUGAUGGAGCAGGGAAGGAAUGUAGUGGAAUUGUCUAUUAUGGAGCAAGGUUUUGAUGAGAAAAUGAUAGGCUUGAGGGGAUUGGUGAAGGUUGUAGAGGCUAAGAGACUGUAAGAGAGAGGGGACAAAGUCAGGUUGAAGAGGGUUAUGCCGGGCAACGAGUUGUUUGAAGGAUACCAUGGGUUGAUUUUGGGUGAAAGCUUGGCGCCAUUUAGUUUUGUGAGAGGAAAUAAGCGGCCAUUUUCGGUGCUUCCUUAGGAAAAAGUUGGGAGAUCUCCUCGCCAUCUCCACUCCCACAAUAGAAGUAUUCUUCAACUCAUUUUGGGGAGUAGAUAACUGAAUUUACGGAUUAGGAUGCAUCGUAGAGUUGCGGGAAAAACAAUGAAGCCGACAGGGGGUGCCGCUGUUUUCGAAUCAAAGAAAUAGCCAGCAAAACCAAAAGCUCCUUUUCUUCUGGGCUUUUCUUUCCCUUUCUUUGUGGAUUUGAGGCUUCGGCACCGAAAUUCAUUAUUCAGAAACGCAUUCAUGGUACUGGCCCAAUAUUGUAUUGUCCAAUUUUUUUUUGGAUAAGAUAUAAUUUUAUUAUCCAAGAAGCAGUUAAAACUGCUACGAUCAAAACAAUGGCAUCCUAUUCCUAUCCGACACCAUAUAGUGUGAAAGCAAUACAGCUUCAUCACCUAGCCUCAGUAUACACCAAUCGCUACAAAGUUGAGCAUUCACAUUGUGAUUUCUAUUAAACGAAUACUUCUCAAUACCUCCACCUCACUGGAUAAAUGUGUUCCAUGCAAAAAUUCAAUAUCAGAGUUAAGAAAAACUUACCCCUCAGCAUUCUGCAAAGCCAUUGACAAGUCUAUUUGCUGUCCAAUUAGAAAUGCAUUCUUUUUUUGCAUGACUUGAAGUCAAUUUUAUAUAAUGUAAUUUUUAAUCAGGAAAAAAAACCAUUUCUCACUUAAAAAGACGGAUUUCAUUCAAUAAUGAUGAAGGAUACAAGCCAAGAAGCUAAAAAAGAAACACCAAAUCUUAAAGUAAGAGCCAUGCUCGUAGCUCAUAAAAUAUCCAGAACACCUAGCUAAAUGGAGGAGGGUUGCGUACGUGAAAACAUCUAAGGCAACACAAGACACGAAAGAGAGCGAUAUGGGCACAUUGGAAACAGAAGUCUGAGUUUACAACGGUAUGGGUUGUCUCCUUCCACACUAACCCUAUCCUGGCAUCUACUCUUUCGGAUGAUGAGAGAAGGGAGCCCCACAAUUCCACCCUCAUCAUCAUCAUCCAUAUGGGUACCAACCUCAAUGGUGUCAAGUCCUUGCUUUUAGCAUGGAGGAACCUCUACAUUUGAUCAACACGGUCCUUUUCCAUGCCUCCAACGACGACACCAUAAGCAGCCUUCCGCUCAUCUGCCAUCCGUCAUGCAUCCAUAUUGACCUUCAGUUUCGUAUCUCUAGGUGCUUCCACUUUGCAGUCCUUGGCCUAAUGGUCAGCAUAGGUCCAUGAGUGAGGUUAUGCACUCUAAAAUCUUUUUGGAGAGUCCUUGCCCAAAUCAGAGCAUCUUGGGGUACCUUGGACCAGCUCCAUGUUCCACACAUUCCAAAAUUGCCAUAGCACAAGUAGAAGGCUCGUGAAGGUCUUCUUGUCCAAAGUUGCACAAGGCUUGUGUGGGUUGGGGGAAGAAGGGAAAUGUUUUUAGUUUUUAAACAUCAUCCCUCAUUAACUGCAUGUUGCCAUCUGUGUAUUUAAUUCCUUUUAUGAUGAAUGAUAUAUAAAGCAAUUGAAGGCAUCAAUAUUGCAAAUUUAGAGCAUAGCAGUUUUGAGCUGUUUACCUGAAAAUAUGUAACACUAAAGUUAUACUGCAGACUGUUUAAAACAAGUUUAUUCCUUUGAGAGUGAGAAAUUGAAAAAGGAUAGUCUAAGAUAUGAACAUGAUGCGAAUCCCAUCAGCAAACAUUAUAAUAAUGAUGCACGUAAAUUUGCUUAGAUUGGACAGACCAACAGUAGUUCUCUCAGAAUCAAAAUUACUCAUUCAUACAAUUCAUAUCAUGAUAGAGUUCCGGUGGAGCAAUUUCAUACAUGAUGGAUUGGUGUAUGUGGGUCUAGGUGUUAGUCAGUAGGACAGAUGCAGCCGCACGAUUAUCAUAUGGGUGAAGCCGAUUGGACUGCAUGCAUGGUCAUGAGAGUCGUCUUCAACUUUAACACUUAGAAUCUCCUAUUCAAUAUUGUUAAUAUAAUACAAUAGAGAGGGAGAAAAGUAUUACAAAACAAAUGAUAGUGUCAUUGUCAAUUCUUCGUCUCCGUUUACCAUAUCUCCAAACUAAUCAUCAAAUCAAAGUCUAAUUACUUAUAACUAACGCGAUUUGACUUUGAUUAUGGGAUAAUUUAUAUUAGAACUAUCUUAAAAACUAAGAUUUUAAGGCACUAAUAAAAUUCAUUACAUCUUUAAAUUAAAAGACUUAAAAUUAUUAUUAUACACCCAUCCAUAUUCAACCUACUCUCUAAAUCUAUAUUUUUUAAAUAAAAAUAUAAGUAAUUAAAAAAAAAAUCAAAUAACAUAGAUAAAAGAUGGAAAGUGGAAAAUAAGAUAAAUUUAUCAUUGUAUUUUUAUCUACAUAUCUACUUCUUAUUGACAUUUAUUAAGAUAUUAUUUUCAAUAAUAAAUUUUUCCUACAAUACUUUAUUAUUAAAAAUAAUUAUAAUACAUAAAAUUAUAUUAUAUUUGUAAAAAUUAAUUUUCUAAUGUAUAAUAUUUAAUUAAAAUUUUGAAUAAAUUUUAAAAUAUAUAGGAAUAUUAUUUAAACAUCAAAUUUAAAUGAAAGGUUUAUAUUUAUUAAAUAAUAAUUCAAAUGAAAAUUAUUGAAUGGAUAAUAAGUAUCGAAAUAGCGACAUAAUCAUCUGAUUCAAUUUGCUCAUCUUCAUUUAAGAGAUUUCACUGAGUAGAAAUUAAAUUACAAUUAAAAAAAAAUAAAAUCAUAUUCAUAAAAAGGUUGAAAAGAUCAGAAGAAUAAAACAAAGUGAAAACAACUAAGGGCGUGAUUAAGGAUGAGCAGAACUUGAAUUUCAAGUUAUUCAAUUUUUUUCAAGUCAACUCGAAUAAGUAAUUUGAGUUUUGAGUUCGAAUCAAGUUAAAUUUUAUAAUUCAAAUAACAUAUUGGUGUAAAUACACAUUUGGCUCUUGUCAAUUUUGAAAAUAAGCAAAUUGGUCUCUCUCUUAACAAAAAUUAUAGAAAAAUUCAAAAUAUUUAUAAAAAUUUCAAAUUUUAUAUUUUUAAUAUAUAUAAUUAAAAAAUUCUAAAUAAUAUAUAAAGAAAGUUAAAAUUUUUAAAAAAUUCUAAAAUAAUAAUUUUGGGGACCUAAAAAAAUUAAUUAAUGAUUCAAAUUUGUUGUAUUUUUUAUUUAUUUUGCUUUAAAAAAGUUUUCAAGUAUAUAUAGUUUCAUGAAAUUAGUUAUUUUUAAAUUGACAUGUUUAAUUUUUUAAUUUAACUCGAACAUUUUUAUUCGAUUUGACUUGACUAGAAUUUUAUUUCGAUUCGAUUCAAAAACAAUUUGAAUCAAAUUAGGAUAAAUCGUACUCAUCAACUCGAAAUUUUUUCAUUUGAUUCGACUUGAUUUAAUCGAGCAAUCACCCUUAAAUACAUCCAAACAAAACUUAAGUGAACGUGUACCAUUACCCUCCAUCAAAAUUGUUUAAGACUAAUCUUUUGAGAAAUAUCCUUAUUUAACAAUCACAUGCUUAUGGAAGAUUGGUGUGAUGAUAAUAUUAAUGUGUGAACAUAUCUAACGUAGGUUACAAGGAAAAUGGAUUGAGAUUUGAGAUGGAGAUGAAGAUGGUGAUGGGUUUUGAUGAUUUUGAAAUUGCUUGUGAGAUAUAUAUAAAAUUGGAACGAAAGAAAGAGACGUAAAUAAAUUAAUUGGAUAUGAGAGAUUUGCAAUUGCAAGCAUCCUUCAUUACUGUGCAUCAAGAUUGAAGGAAUGAGAAAAUAAAGUCACAUUCAUUAAAUCAAAUUAAAUGCUGCUAUUCAUUGCCAAAAGCAUGAGGUGGCUGAAGUUGUUGAUGACUUUCUAGUUUCAUUUUGGAAUAAAUUAAUUUAAUGACAGAUAAAAAUAAUAAUGGAAAAGAAUAUAAAUUUUUAAACCACACUUUGAAUUAAUUAUUUUUAAUGCUACCAACUCUAUUGUAUUGUGAAAAAUGAAAUCCAAGUCCAAAAAAUGGAAAUUUUCAAUCAUUCAUACUUAUCAGGCCAAUCAGCCUAUAUUUUUCCAUAUAUCAACUUUUAUACGUCCAAAUUCUAAACUCUCGAAUUUUUGCUUCAUUACCAAUGCUCUCCUCACUCUCUCUAAGCUCCAACACUAUAAUCGUAUCUAAUCAUACUAUUGUUGGGAAAUUAUUAGAAAAGCACCCUACAUUUACCAAAACAAUCAUGCCACUCCCCUACACAACAUAUACGUAAAAAUAAAUAGAGAUGAUUUGUUCUUUCUAAAUAAUAAAAAAAUAUUUUGAUACUAAAAGAUUCUUCGGUGAAGUUAGGGAUAAAUUGUUCACACAUUUGGAAAUUUCGUACAUUAUUAAGAGAGUCAAUAUACUAUAGUCAAGUACAUGUGCGACUUAAAUUUUACCCACACAUCAAGUAUACUUCAAAUUAGAUAACUCUCUUAGAACUCAAUUCAAUUUACUUACAAUAUUUGCACACAAUAAAACAAUUCUUAAUUGAAUAAGUCACAAAUAACCUAAGCAAAUCAUGCGAUAUAUAAGAGUUAAACCACUUCAAUAAUCGACCCACCAGUAGAGAUUUUUUUAGUGGUUAGACUCUUUUGAAGACUAUAUCUUUUGGUAUGAAUUAAAAGUUUAAUUUCAAUCCAUACUUUCUAAUUUUCGAGCAUAAAAUUUUUGUAAAUGUGCUACGUCUAACAAUGCUUAAGAUACAAAAAUGGCGCGAGUCUUUUCUCAAUUACACCUAGACAUUAACAACAUUACAAAUCCGAGGAGAAAUAGGUUAUCAAAAUUGCACCAUAAAGUUUGGACCAUUUACUCUUUUGAGUUGGUAGCUAAAUAAUACAAAAUUUUAUUGUUUACGUUUUAAUUGAUUUUUUUUACGUGUGUAUAUAUAAAUAUUAGGCUCUGAUCAAAUAUAUAUUAUAUAUAUAAAUAUUCGGCGCAGGUAGACAGCUGGUAAGAAAUUAUUGAGUGAGAGAGAGAAGCCACGUGGGUUGUUGGCCUGUAAUUGUCCUUAAGUAACAGCUUCCUGCAUCCACAUGGCGUCUAUAGUAUAUAGAUGCCAGUGCCAUGCAUCAACAUGAAUGCUUUCUCACUUCAUAACAUGGCAUGGUAUGCCCAUGUCUACGUGGAUAAGGAUGAGUUGGGACCCAAUAGGUUUCAACAAAACAAAUAAGAUAUGAUGAAUCAUAUUUUGCAUGACACACAAGUUAUUCAAUUAUCAAAAGAAUAUUUUGCUAAAGACAAAAAAGUCCACGCCUAUCAAUGCGAUUAAAGAAAUCAUGGAUUAUCGGGAGGUGGCUGUGUAAUUUUCCUCUAUGGUUUGGGAGAAAGCCAAGUAAUAAUACUUUUUAUAAGCCAAUUUAAAAUUGUAAGAGAAUAUAUUAGCAAAGCCCAUGCAGCUGCCCGGUGCCUUAAAUUAAUUUUGCUUCUUUCACAAUAUUUAAACGAGUACUAGUAUACCAUUCAAUAAUAGCUACUAAUAAAGUACAAAUUAGACAGCCAUAAACAAAUAAUUGACAUCACACUGUUGUUGUGGACUGUAAAGAUUUUGGUGAAGCAAUGCAUGGAAGUGGAUUUUCAGUCACAAGACAAGAUGAUUGUGUCUUUGAUCAACAAAAUUCAAGUUUUUAUUGGGACCGGGUGUGUUGGGCCUGGCCCUGGAGAUGGUAACCUAAUUUAUUAGGCCUGCUUCCCCGAGAUGAGAGAUGGGGACCAUAUAUAUUUCAUUUAUUAUAUAAAUAAAAGGGGACACGCAGGAACAAAAAGACAGACAAAUUUAUGGGAAUGAACGAAAAGUCAAAAGUGGACAAAAGGGUGAUGGGGUCCGUCCGAAUACCAACAAGGAGUAUGAAUAAGAACAUGAUGAAUACACGUGGUAGGUCCCAUCCCCCACCUCUCUCUCUAUCUACUUUCUAUUGCGGUCCACCUCCACCAUCUACCGCUCUGCUACAGCUGUCACCACUCACCACACACCACACACGUAACCUAAUCCCUUUUGCCUUUUGAUACCUCUGUCCAUCGAACUUUGUUAAUUACUAAGUUUUUUUUUUAUUUUUAAUUUUAGACCUUAUUUAAUAGUAUUUAUUCAAUUUAUUCAAUUAGAUUCGGUUAUUUUAUUAUCAAAUUGAUACGAUUUUAGGAGGUUGAAAUUAAGAGUUCAUUUUUAAUUUUUUAUAUUUUUUAGAUUAUUGUGUGAAAAUAUUAUCAUGUAUAAUAUAGUAUCAACUUAUUAUUUUUAUUUGAUAUCCAAAAAGUUAAUUAACUUUAAUUAUGAUUAAAAUUUUAAAUUUUAAAAAAUAUAAAAAAACAAAUAAGCAAAAAAAUCUUAAACGUAUAGCUUGCAAAUUUUAAUUAUUAUUAUUUGAGUUAUAAUAUAAAUUUUCAAAAUUCUAGAAAUAAAAUAAGACACGUUGCUUAAAAAGUAAUAAAAGAAAUUGAGCAAUAAAUUACUUACCAUCAUCAUCAUAACCACCACCCACAUCCAUGGAAGAUGCAUGCAUGCAUGCAUGCAUACAUACAUACAUAUAUAAUUAUUUUGUUAAUUACUACAAUGAUUGUCUUUCCGAUUCUUUUUAUAUAGAUAAUCGCAGUAAUAAUAAAAAAGUGAAAAAGAGGAGCACAAAUCUUGGACGCGGACAGCACAGCUUUAUAAGCCUGCCUUAGGAUCGUGUAUCGAACUACAAGUCUUUAAAUUUAUUACAGGGAAAAGCAGGAAAGCAGAACUAGAACAAGAUGGUAGGAUUUUCUUCCCAAACAGAAUCUUGGGUUGCCACCAGAAACUCAAUCUACGAAUCCCAGAAAGAGGCAGAUAGCUUCGAAUUGGAUCUAAAACGUCUAGAUCUGAUAAAGAUAGAUCAAGAAGACGAGAAUAAUAAUAUUAACAGCCAAGAUAAGAUUAGCACCACCAAGAAGAACAAGAAGAAAAAUCAGGUGUUGCUGGAGGGAUACGUGGAGGCGGUUGAUGAGGAGGAUGAACUGAAGAGGACAAAGAGCUUGACCGGUGAUGAUCUAGACGAACUAAAGGGGUGUUUAGAUCUGGGGUUUGGCUUCAGCUACGAGGAGAUUCCUGAGCUUUGCAACACCUUGCCUGCACUUGAGCUAUGUUACUCUAUGUCUCAGAAGUACUUGGAUGACCACCAGCACCAUGCAUCUCCAGACACCACCGCUACCCCCGAACCCGUCGCCAAUUGGAAGAUCUCUAGUCCUGGUCAGUCUUUUCUCUUUUUUACCAUCUUUCUUUGUUUUAUUUUUCUAUUUGUCAUCAGAUCUUGUUGUGCUCGUUUUUACAAGGACUUUGAGUGAUGAUAAGCUUUUGUUUCUUGCUUUUCUUUCCCACUUGUUGUAGUGUUAUAUCAUACAUGACAUGCUUUUCUUUGCUAGAUGAAAUUAGGAUUGAGCCAAAAAGAAUUGAAAAACUGAUUCAAAUCGAUUCAUUCGGCUUAGUUUAGAUUCAGGAAUUGAAAGCCCACACUUGGGGUUCCUUUAUUCAAAUAAAUACUUGGUUUCUUACACAAACACAAUAAUCAAGGUUGAUUUGCAUUGAUGCUGAGAAAUCCAAGAAACUAAUAUUUUGCCAUCUGCUCAAAGUUUACAAAUCUUUUCACAGAAAAGGGGAAAAAAAAAAAGCAGGAACAUUGUGCAAUUUGUUUUUCAUAGAACAGUAGUACUCGCAAGUUGGAUGCAUCUAGCCUGUGCAAAACCAUGUAUAGAUGGUCGACUUCGCUUAGGGAACGAGUUUUAACCUUGUGUAUGCAUUACAGGUGACCAUCCAGAAGAUGUUAAAGCAAGGCUUAAAUUCUGGGCACAAGCUGUGGCCUGCACUGUCAAACUGUGCAACUAAAAGAUUCAUGAACAAUCAUUGGAAAAAUGAGAAUGAAUAUUUUUCUCAUUGAUGAGCAUCAACUGGAUAAAACCCUACGCUCUGCCGAACCAUGCCAUGGUGGGGAUGACAUUUCCAGCAAUUGUGGGAAAUAGACCAGGCCAAAAUUUUAAAAAUGGAUCAGCUGCAAGGAGCAUGGGAAGAAGCUGGAAAGGAAGAUGUUACAGGUUUGAGAUUAACCGAUGAUCCAAUGAGUCUUGACUUAAUUCUGCGGAGACUAGGAUAUAUAUGAUAUAUUAAUUGUAUCCCGUAUGGUAUGAAUAAAAUAUGUCUUCUUACUGCUACUAUGCUUCAUUGGUGUUUGAUAUAUAUAUAUAUAUAUAUAUGGCUAUGGAAUCCAACCGUCUGUUGGCUUUGCAUGCAGUGGUGAGAGUCUCCAGUUGAGCUUCACCAACUAGUUCCGGACCUCUGCGUUUGCUGAGGUAACCAAUCUAAUUGUGUUGAUUCAUCAUACCUGUGUUUCCUCUCACCAUGAUUACUGUGGUGGUACCUGGCUAACCAAUGCCGCAGCAUGGAACCACUGAUACUUGAGCUUUUCUAAGAAUAAACUGACCAUUUUAUGGCCAUAGAUCUCCUAUUCUAUCUAUCCCUAAUGCCUUGAAUUUUGAGGUAAAUUGAUUCUUGUAACCAAUAUGAAUCUUGGUGGGAGUUGUUAGGGUUUUCUUUCUCACGGAACGGAAGGCUGCAAAUUACACGCAUUCCACUGAGAUGGCUCAUCUUUGCGUAUGUUAAUGUGGUGUUGAAGGUUACGUUUUGGUAUCAGUUUCAUUUUGUGGUUGAGAUUGAGAUAGGAAGAAAACUCAAAACUUAUCUGAUAAUCACAGCCUAGUUUGAAACAGUAAGAGAAGGGACGAAAUUUGACUCGGAUUGGAUUUCCGUUAUUAGGAAAAGAGGCUUUGAGUUGAAAUAUCAAAAUUUAUUGAUUGGGGGUUAUGUCAAAGUUUACUCUUCUCCAGAAAAUCACAUCAGCAAAUAGCAGUUUAUGUUUACGUUUUCAUUUAUUAAAUCUCUCUAUACCUCAUUCUGAGCUGCCAAUCGAAUUCUUCGACCAAGUCCCUCCAUAUCAGUAACAAAUAGAUAUGAAUGACCUCUUUGACUCUCAGUAAUCCAACUUUUAACUACAAAAUAGACUGAAUUUUGGCGAGAUGAUCACUCUUUUAAACAUACUAACAAUGAGCUUUGUAACUACGUACGUCACGGCACUUUAAGAAUUAAUUGCAUUCAACUUGGAAACUAUAAUCUCUCAAAGGAAAACUUGUCUAACCAUAGCUUCACUUAACAAAGCUCCAUUUAUGUGGAGCAUUAAGCCCAUCAACUCUAUUAAGUAAGGCCUGCCUGAUUUCAUCCUUAGAAACACCCUACUUAAGCUUUAUCUCUAGUUAAGCCUAUUAUAUUUACUUUGAAAGAAACUAAUUAUCAGGACCUAAUUUUAUAUGUCCUUGAUUGAUUUAGCCUUUUGACGUUAAAAAAUCCGACCAACACCUUUUAGCCGAUUGUUGUUCUUAAACGUUAUUGUGAUGUCAUCAAUACGAAAAAUUUUAAAUUAAAAAUAAUGUUUAAUUAUAAAAAUUUAAAUUUUACAAAUAAAAAUGAUAAAUAUCAAAUUUAUAUAUCAACUUCAAUUUAAAGUGCAACUUAAUACAUAAACUUUGAUUUGGACCAUUUGAUCUAAUUAUACACAAAAAAAAUCAUAAGUGUUUAAGUAAAUGAAGCGAGGUUCUUUAUUUAUAGUUGAGCUCUUUCGGAUCUAAUGAUGCAAAUCGAAUUACAUCAACGGUUGAGAUUAAUGUUUGUCUUAAUAUGAGAGUUUAAAGGAUUUAAAUUAUAUACAUUUCACUAGACAACUAAUGAUUCAAAUAAAAAGACUCUAAAUUUAUAUUUACACAUGUAUACACGUGAAAUUGAAUUUCUAAUUUCUCUUAUAUUAUUUUUAAGUAUUAAAAACUAUUAACCAUUAAAUGAUUCGGAGGGAUCCAAUCAUAUGCAAUCGAAAUAAAUAAGCCGCCAUAAAUAAUCUAACCAAAAUAGCCAUGGACGAUUUAGAACAUGAAGAAAAAAAUGAACAUGAAGAAGAAAAAUAUUUCUUACCGAUUGAUAGAAUGGAGUUAAUAGCCUUGACCCAAUGUUGAGUUCUAUUUUAAAAGAUGCAUAAAUUAUAUCUAAUGUCAUUAAACUUUUAAUUACUCAACUAGCUAUUUGAAAUUUUUUAUUUAAGGGUCUGUUUGAUUGACGGAAUUGAUUUUCCGGAAAAUCGUUUCCAACUUUUCCAGCGUUUGAUUGGCGGAAAACAUUUUCCAUUUGGAAAAUGAACUCCAAAAUAAGGGAAAAUGGGUUACAUUUUAGGGAAAAUGUCUUACCUUUUCAAUUUCCGUAAGACAUUUUCCGUGCUCUCCUCUCUAUCGCCUCCUUCAUUUCCGGUAGAAAACUGCUGCUGUUUAUCGAUUUUCCAGUAACUUGUUUUUUUAAUUAUUCAAUACUUGUUUUUUAACACAAUUACAAAUAAUUUAUUUGAUAUUAGUUUUUUUCAAUUUAUAACGAUUAAUAUUGUAGCUUAAUAAUUGAGAAUUAUUAUAAAUAAAUCAUUGCAAUAUAUGUAAAAAUAAUUUAAAAUAUAAAAAUUUAUUAAUAUAUAUUAAUAUAUGUAAAAACAAUUUUUCCGAAAAAUAUUUUCAAAAAAUCUGCCAAGCAGCAGAAAAUAUUUUACACAGAUUCAAUCAAACACCAGAAAAUAUUUUCCAGUAAAUCAUUUUACAGAGAAGUAAAACAUUUUCUAGAAAUCAUUUUACGGAAAAUAUCUUACUGGCAAUCAAACAGACCCUAAGUUACCAAAUUCUUAAAAUCAUUGCUGUAUGACAUAAUUCUUAAAAUCAUUGCUGUAUGACAUUUUUAUUUGCAUUGCAUGCUUCAACCGAAUAUUUUUAUUCUCAUUCUUUUCCACAGUUAUUUUUUUAUUAAACAACUUUAAACAUCAUGAAUAUGUAAACUCAACUCCAAAAAAAAUUAUUUUUCAAUAUUUGACAUUGAGCAUUAAAUCGAUUUAAAUACAAGAUAUAUUAUUCUACUUAUCAAUGGAUACUGAUCCAUCAUAUUGAUUGCCAAAUUGUUUCUUGUGUGGAGUUGGCUAAUCGGAUUAAAAAAAACAUAUUACCCCAAUAAUAUAAAUAUUAAUACUUAAAAUUUACUAAUAAUUUAUUUACUUAUGCCUUAAACAUAUGGAUGAUAACAAAACCUAAAGUUAUAAACCUUGUAUGCCAAAAAAGAGUCAUAAACCUUGAAAAGAAAAAAAAAAAACAGAGGCAGAGGGUUGUUUGCCCUGCUCUUAAUCUCAUCUAUAUCAGUACUCCGCCUCCCACCCUUCCGCGCCAAUACACACACAAAAAAAGACCCAGCAAAAAGCUCUCAAAGAAGAAGAAGAAUCAAAUGGAGGAGGUGUGCGAGGGAAAGGACUUCUCCUUCCCUUCCCAAGAGGAGCACAUACUAUCUUACUGGUCCCAAAUAGAUGCCUUCAAGGGUCAGCUGGCUCGCACCCAAAACUUGCCUGAAUACAUCUUUUAUGACGGUCCACCCUUCGCCACCGGUCUCCCUCAUUAUGGCCACAUCCUCGCUGGCACCAUUAAAGAUAUUGUCACUCGCUUCCAGUCUAUGACUGGACAUCAUGUCACCCGCCGUUUUGGUUGGGACUGCCAUGGUCUCCCCGUAGAGAACGAAAUCGACCGCAAGCUCGGAAUUAAGCGCCGCGAUCAAAUUCUCGAGAUGGGUAUCGAUAAGUACAAUGAGGAAUGCAGGAGUAUAGUCACUAGGUAUGUCGAGGAGUGGGAGACUAUCAUUACCAGGACUGGGCGUUGGAUCGAUUUCAAAAAUGAUUAUAAGACCAUGGACUUGAAGUUUAUGGAGUCCGUGUGGUGGGUUUUUGCCCAGCUUUACCAAAAGGGACUUAUCUAUAAAGGAUUUAAGGUCUGGUUACAAUUAAAACCCAUUUUCUGUCGCCUUUGCUUCCUUCACAAUUUCUUUAUUAAAAAGUUUGUUGUCCUGCAGGUCAUGCCUUAUAGUACUGGGUGCAAGACCCCGUUAUCUAAUUUUGAAGCUGGUGAGAACUACAAGGUAUUUACUUGAUUUUAGUGUCACUCUAGUUAUUUUUACUCAAGUUCCUAUAGCAAUUUGGUCUAUUUGUUCUCUGAUGACCUUUCUGAAAUGCUCCAAGUACACUUCAGAUACUAGUUUUUCAGCCCUUUUACUUCAACUAUGUCUAACAACACUUCAUUGUGCAGCUUGUGCCUGAUCCUGAAAUAAUGGUGGCUUUCCCCAUAGUUGGUGAUCCAGAUAACGCUGCUUUCGUGGCUUGGACAACAACACCAUGGACCCUUCCUAGUAAUCUUGCACUUUGUGUCAACGCAAAUUUUGUCUAUGUAAAGGUUCGUUGCCCUUCACUUGUUACUUAUUUAGGUCAUCAGCACAAGAUGGUCGAGUUGUUUAUCAUGUCAUUUCUAUUGCAUUUGGGGUUGAAGCAAUGUGUAGUCUUAGUUUUAGAUCAUACAUGAUGCUGUACUGCUUGUUAGUUUGUUACCUGAUCCCACCCAACAAAUCGGCUUCUCCAUCAUGCUUCCCGUGGUCAUUUUACAUUGCUCUUAAUUGCUUAUAACUCAUAGUGUAUGAAAAUUUUAUGUAGGCGUGCCUGCAUGCAAAACACAGAGAUGACAUCCUUCCUAAAGAAAUAUGGGUUAUGUAAUUAAAUUUCAGGUUCGCAAUAAGUACUCUGGAAAAAUCUAUGUGGUUGCUGAGUCAAGGUUGUCUGAACUUCCAACUGAGAAACCAAAGCCAAAUGCUGCUAAUGGGCCUUCUGGUGAUUCCAAGAAAUCUAAGAGCAAAGGAUCUUCUGGCGAAAAGACUAAAGAUUCUGCAGCAGAUUCCUUUGAAGUUUUAGAAAAAUUUUCUGGGGCUUCACUAGUGGGGAAAAAGUGAGUAUUCAUGCUUAUGGUUAUCUGUUCUUGGUCCUAGUUGACUAUAAAAGAACUUUAUAUUGAUUGCAUCCUAGCAGUUCUUUUUGGGAUUUAUAUUGGUAAUAUCAAACUUGUGUUUGGAAUUGUGAUGUAUAUUUUCACCUUUCUAUCAUCUGGAGUUGUUUGUUUUGAGGAUAUCGAAUAACUUGGGAAUCAUUAAGAGGUGGUCUCUAGUUUGAUGCAACUUGGUUCAUAUGCCAAUGAUUCCCAUCUGGGUGAUAUCUAGACUGCUAUCUUUAUAGCUACUGAUCUUCAUAAGUAGGAAUGGAGUACAGCGUGUCAAUGUUUUUUAUCUGCAGCAUUAAGUGAUGUAUAAUUGGCUGCCAGUUAUGAUCUCUCUAGAGAACAUUAAAAUUUGUGACUGGCUCUUGAGAUAUUUAAAAUUGGUUUGAGUCUAGACAAGCUUCUUUGUAGUAGGAUACUAAGAGGAUGCAUAUGUUGCAGGUAUGAACCAUUGUUCAACUACUUCUUGGAGUUCUCGGAUGCCGCUUUUAGGGUGAUUGCUGACAAUUAUGUGACAGAUGACAGUGGUACUGGAAUUGUACACUGUGCUCCUGCAUUUGGUGAAGACGAUUACCGAGUUUGCAUUGGGAAUCAAAUAAUCAAUAAGGUUUGCCCUAAUUACUUUAUCUGAAUGUAUUAAUUUUUAGCUGUACGGUUAGACUUGGUAUUUUGACAUACAGGUUGUUACAUGUUGCAUGAAUUUUCAUUUGGUGUUCAUGCCUUUAUAAUGUUCUUGCUUGAUGGUUUUUGUGUAACUAAUACGUUUUCGUUAUGAACUUUCUUCUCUGGUUGUCCAUUGAACAUGAGAAGCGGAUGAAUAACAUUUGCUUCUGGAAGAAAUUGAAGGAUUCCUUGGGAAUCCUACAAGAUCCAUUCGUUCUUUUCUCAUUGAUAGUCAAAAUUUCAUAUGGUUUCAUAUCAUGUUGAGGAAAGAAAAAAUAUUUCUUUUGCCCUUUCUGGGUGAUUGAAAAAUAAAGAUAUAGUUAAUACAUUCAAGAUAAUUGCAUAUUCAAAAUACCUCUUGUAUUCAUACUAUUUCAUCAGAUCGGGGAUGCGGUAUGGUACCAGAGGAUGAAUUGGGCAGUUCCAAAAAGAUUUCAUUCUUGAACAAAAAUCUAUUUUCUUGGAUUCUAAACAUAUUGUAUCCUUUCUUGACUGCAUUUGAUGUUGAAAUAUAGGAUUUGCUCAUUUACUAAUCAGUGCCUAAGUCUAAUGCCUAAGAAAGGUUAAGUUAUAGAGAAAGUUGUAGAGAGCUGCAGCUUGCACAUUGUCUAUCACAAUUGUAAUUUAACUUCUGAGGAAUUUAUGUCCUUGAGGCAGGAAUGCUCAUUAAAUCUCCCUCAUCAGUUUGAAUACAUUUGCUGAUGCUCUGUCACCUGUUGUUUCCUUUUAUCGCAAACACAUCUUGUUAUUUAUUUUGUUUUUGAAAAUUUAGUGGAUAAAUCAAACCAUUAGUUUCAUUUCUUUUAUUCACUAUAUCUGUUUUCUCUUUUUAUGUGAAUUGAACCAAUUUCCAUGCUUUUAUCAUGUUUGUUCCUUCGGAUCAAUACCACCCUUCUUUAUACUUCUUUUACCAUUUAUUUAUCUAUUUUUGCCUUGUAGGGUGAGAAUCUGAUUGUAGCAGUUGAUGAUGAUGGUUGCUUUACUGGGAAAAUUACUGAUUUUAGUGGAUGCUAUGUUAAGGAUGCUGAUAAGGAUAUUAUUGAAGCAUUGAAGGUCAGAUUGAUGCAAAAUUAUAUCUUAUUGAAAGAAAAGAGGAAAACCUCUGAGCAUCUAUCCCCAACUUGAGAUAAUUGUUUAUUACCAAUUUGGGAGCUCCUAUACUUUGUUGACAGCUCCAUGCAAUUUUAAAGCUAGCGAUAAUAGUUUUUAUUACCAUCACAAGCCAAAAAAGCAAAAUUUUAAAAGAAAGAAAGAAUCUAGUUGUUAUGUCCUAAGAUUUGUUUCUUACUAUGUUUUAUACUUACUUUUCUUUCUCCUUGAACUUCAUCAAUCCUCUUCUUUAUUUCCCAGGCAAAAGGCAGGCUUGUUAAGCAGGGAACCUUUACACAUUCUUAUCCGUUUUGUUGGAGAUCUGAUACUCCUCUUAUUUAUAGAGCUGUUCCAAGCUGGUAUGUUUGGUUUUAUCACUCCUUAUUCCGAAAGAUUAAGAACCUUAGUUUAUAGCUUUGCUAAAUAAAGAUAUAAGUUAUAUACAAGCAAACUUUAUUUUACCCUUCUUUAAUGACCGUUUUUCAUGCCUUUUCUCUAAUAUUUUUGCCAAAAAUAACUCAGAUAUUAAUUUUAGUUGUUGGCUCAUUUAAUCAUCAAUCCUCUUGAUGGUAAUAUAGUCAAAUACAUUGAGAGGAAAUGCUAAUAUAUUGAUCAAAUUUGAACAUUCCAUUGUCUGCUUACCUUGCUAUGAGAAAGUUGCUUUACGCAUGUGCUUUUGGUUGACUUGAUUCUUCUGGAAUCAUUACAGACAAGUCAUAUGCUUGUAAAUCCCUUGAGGGGCAUUAGUUGACAAAGCGUGUAUCAUGGAGAAAUUGUUUAUCAAAUUAAGCUCAUGAAAGUUGAAUUCUGUGCUGUAUAUGUAGUUGGUCGUUAGAAGUUCUUCUAAGUUGAAAUGAAUUAUUAGUUUCAAUAAGUGGAAGGUUAUCCUAUAAAUGGUUUUUGACUGCUAUGUUAGUUUGUGCUUAAAUAAGCAACUUUGAGUUGGUGUAAGCAUUGAAGAGUAGGCUGCAGGCUUUGAUGGUCUAUGAAUGCUGCAUUUUUGCUUUGCCUUCGUUAACAAGGUUGAUGUUCUGUAAAUUGAGACAUGAGCAAAGAAAUCAUUUAAUGUUGAUCCCGGACUUGGAAAAGUUCUGUAGACUUUGAAGGAUUUACAGUUUUGGUUGCAUGAUUUCCACAUACUUCAUUUUGUGAAUGUAGGCAUCUUAAAUUUGCUUUGCACUACAAAACUCAUGCUUUUUUACCUUAUAUAGUUGGCCAUUAGUUAACUGGUUUGUUUGCCCAUUUCUACAUUGUGUAUUUACCUAUUAAAGGAGAUUUUGAUAGUGCACAAGGAUUCUGGAAACCAUGCUUUUACUUCCUUGCUUUCAUUUUCUGCUGCAUUCUAGUUGUGUAAGUAAUGUAUCAUAUGUAUUAGGUUUGUGCGGGUGGAACAACUGAAAGAGCAAUUAUUAGAUAACAACAAACAGACCUACUGGGUACCUGAUUAUGUGAAGGUUAGAUGACUUUCUUCACUGCCUGUUGAUGUUAUUAUGUUUUUACUUGAAGCUCUUUUCAAUUUUUCUGGUGUUCAUUCUGUUUGCAUGGGUCUGGAUUUAUCUUCUACUCAUGGUUCUUUCAGAAUGUCAUAUUCUCUGUGUGUUUUGUCAUUUCACAGGAUAAACGUUUUCACAAUUGGCUGGAAAAUGCAAGAGACUGGGCUAUUAGUCGAAGUAGAUUUUGGGGCACUCCCAUUCCUGUGUGGAUUAGUGAAGAUGGUGAGGAAGUAAUAGUCAUGGAUUCUGUUGAAAAACUCGAAAGGCUUUCCGGUGCUAAGGUUUGACUUUUUUUUCCUACUUUCCCAUGUCUAAGAUGUUACUCUUUAGGAAGGUAGAUGUUGUUGGCCUCUAUCUAUUUACUUUUGCCUCUAUGCUUUCUACAUUUGGUCCCCUUUUCUCCUUGUCUGGGGAUUGUCGUGAUAGAUUUAAAACUUUUGUUCUUCCAUUUCAUUUAUUUUUCACACAAUGGGUAGGGGUCUAUUUCAGUGCAGUCUUGAUGAGUUAAGGACUGAAUCCUUUGAGAGAGAAAAUAUGUUAUUUUAUUGAUUGAUCCUUGUGCCUUCAGUUUAUGUAGUUAAUUUUAAGUAUUGUCUAAAAUAAUAAAUGGAUGAUGGUUCUAGAGUUUGUGUCACUUUGCAUCACUUCUGGCACCACUUUAUUAUUUUAGCUUUGGUAUCAGGGUCCAGUGAAUUUAUCCUGUCUUCAUUUGUUUAUGUUUGUUUCUUGGAAGUAUUGCAGUGUGUACUUUUAGAUUGCUAUUGAGAAUAUCUCUGCCCAGCAAUUUGUGGGUUUGUGCAUAAUUUAAUUUAUUAUUUCAGGUCUUUGAUCUCCAUCGGCACAAUAUUGAUCAUAUCACUGUACCUUCUAGCCGUGGUCCAGAAUUUGGUAGUGCUACGACGUAUAGAUGAUGUAAGGCUACUGACUUUAGGUUCUUUUUAUGCAAAGAGCUGUUAUUAUUAGUAACUAUCAGAUUCUAUGUUGCUGAUGUAGUGUCCAACCCCAUCUUCGAAUUUUUAUCAGUUUUAAUUUUGAGCUGAUUGCACAUUGUUGGAGUUCUAAAUUUUUAGACAGCUUCUGCUAAAAACCUUCAUUUGUCAGAUCUUUUUACUUAUUUGUGUUUAUGCUUAUCAUCAGUCUUUUACUCUGUUCAAUUAUUCUGAAUUAUUUUUGCAGGUAUUUGAUUGUUGGUUUGAGAGUGGAUCAAUGCCUUAUGCUUACAUCCAUUAUCCAUUUGAGAAUGUUGAACUUUUUGAGAAAAAUUUUCCCGGGCAUUUUGUGGCUGAGGGAUUAGAUCAAACUCGUGGAUGGUUUGUUCCCUACUGUUGGAUCUGUUAUUCAUUAUAAUUACCAGAUUUUGGAGUACAUGUGGAUUUAGCUGAUCCUAUGCACUUUUGACUGUUUUGCAAACCAAAUGAGCAAGCCUUUUGAGUUGCUAAAGUUUCUUGAUGGCGGUUUAACUUUUUGUUUUAAAAUUUUUUGACAUGCAUGAUUAAUGGUGAAGCAUUUUGCAUGUUCUUAUAACCCUUUAAAUUUUCUUUCGUUGGAAGUGGUAUGUAGGUGAGUGAAACAGUUGUGGAGUUUAGAUUGCCAUCACAUCCAGUUGGUCAAAAAUUCAGUUGAUAGCCUUUUUACUGAACAUUGUUCUUUUCCUAGACAGACCUAUUUCUUUUUAAUUAUUGUUUUCCUUUUAUACUGCUUAUACACAUUGUCAGGUUUUACACUCUUAUGGUGUUGUCAACUGCAUUAUUUGGAAAACCUGCAUUUAGAAAUCUCAUUUGCAAUGGGCUUGUCCUUGCUGAAGAUGGAAAGAAGAUGAGUAAAAGAUUGAAAAAUUAUCCUUCACCCAUGGAAGUCAUUAAUGACUAUGGGGCUGUAAGUCAUUUUCUGUAUACCCUUAUUUUAAUCUUUUUUCUAUUCACUACAUUCAGGCCAGUUUCUUAUUCUCGGUCUACAUGUAUUUUAGUUACAUGAACUUUGUUUCAUUCAUCAACACUUGUAUCUUGUUUUAAUUUUUCAGGAUGCUUUACGAUUGUACCUUAUAAACUCCCCAGUUGUUCGGGCUGAGACCUUACGCUUUAAAAAAGAUGGAGUCUUUGGUGUUGUGAGUAUUUUCUGUGCAUUGCUUGCUGUAUACCAGCUCUUGCUUCUGAAAAGAGUUUUCGUGUUAUGUUGCAUGUUUCUGACAUUCAUUUUCUUAAUCUGUUAUCUUGAUAUCUGCCCAGGUCAAAGAUGUCUUUCUCCCAUGGUAUAAUGCGUAUAGGUUCCUUGUUCAGAAUGCUAAAAGACUCGAGUAUGAGGGUUCUGCCCCAUUUGUUCCUAUUGCUGUCGCUGUUAUUCAGAAGUCAUCUAAUGUGCUUGACCAAUGGAUAAACUCUGCAACUCAAAGUCUUGUUCAUUUUGUUCGAGAGGAAAUGGAUGCAUAUCGACUUUAUACGGUUCUGUCUAUAAACCAACACAACCUUUUGGAAUUUCCUUACCUGCAUGUUGAAGAUAAAACUUAAAUAUAAUAUUUAAGUCAGAUUGGAAAAUUUGGCAACAUUUUUCUAGGUUUUGAAAUAGAAUUCACACUUUGGUUGCUUUUUUAGCGUUCAGAGUUGGCAGCAGCUUAGCAACUUUGACAGCCCAUACCAGCUUUAUAAGAUUUAAGAUUGUGUAUUACAAUAGUGAUGAGAUUGAUACUAUUAGGUAGAUCUGAUACUGAUUCUAUGAUAUUGUUAUAACAUACUUGUUUUUGGGAAUAGCACUACCAUGAUACAUUUGAGAUAUACCUUCUUUCUGUAGGUGCUAUGCAUUAGUUUUGUACAUCUGUUAUAUUACACUGUAAUAGAGCUGAAAAGAGUAUAUGCAUGUAUAUUCUGUUAGGUGGUGCCAUAUCUAUUGAAGUUUCUUGACAACCUCACAAAUAUAUAUGUGAGAUUCAACCGUAAGAGACUUAAAGGCCGUACUGGAGAGGAAGACUGCCGUAUGGCACUCUCUACUCUUUAUAAUGUAUGUACUAUUAUCUCAUUUUCCUAGUGGCAAUUCAUUGCUAAUCUGUUAUUAUGUGUUCAGUAACAGUCAUAUAAUUAUUUACAUGCUUAGAAAUUUGUACUAUGGUUUUAGGUGCUUCUGACUUCAUGUAAGGUUAUGGCCCCCUUUACACCAUUCUUCACUGAGGUUCUUUAUCAAAACAUGCAAAAAAUCUGUGAUGGAGCAGAGGAAAGCAUCCAUUAUUGUAGUUUCCCUCAAGAAGAAGGAAAGGUAUUGUUCAUUUUUGUUGUAAUUAGGCUAAUAUCGUUUGUUCUGUAUAAUUCAUUAAUAGUUUAUUGGUCAUUGCAUGGACUUUGCUCCAAAAUCUCUGUAGUUGAGAUUGUCUGAGAAAAUAAUUUAUCUGCUUAAUUAUAAGGUAGUAUAUACUACUCUAAACUAAUCAUUUGGCUGCUUUGCUGAAUUAAAUGGCAUUGCUAUCUUAGAGGGGGGAGCGAAUUGAAGAAAGUGUGGCUAGAAUGAUGAAGAUAAUUGACCUUGCCCGCAACAUUCGCGAGCGUCACAACAAGCCUCUCAAAACACCUCUGAGGUCUGCUUAUAAGCUGUCUCUUGCCUCAUAUUUCUCUUAUAUGUUUCUUGUCUGUCUUACCCUCUUACCCAUUCAUUCUUUGUAAUUUAGGGAGAUGGUAGUUGUUCAUCCGGAUGAGGACUUUCUUGGUGACAUAGUUGGCAAAUUAAGAGAGGUGCAUUGUGGAAACUUUAGUUCUUUUUCAGUUUGUAGUUUAAUAAAUGCCCCUUGCUCUACUUGUUAUCUCUUUGUUAUUCCUUGGAUGUCGUCGGCUAUACACAAAAUUCAUCAAGUUCUCAAAGUAGCAUUUGAGGGUUUUUUUUUUUAAAAUAAUCAAAUGGGAAAAACAAGAAAGGGAAAACUAAAAGUGAAAGAAGCUUUAAGUAGGAAUAGGAAGUGAGUCAAAUGGAUGUAAAUUUUCCUGUAGCUUAAUGGCAGUUAGGUUUCAAUUUGAUGCAAUGGUAAGGUUAAAUGCCUCCACUUAGUUUGACUUCCUUCUCUAAUUACUUCUUUCUCCUUUGGGUUGUCCGUUGGUCUUGAAAUAAAAAUGUAGUGGUUAGGCAAUAUUUUCUAUGUUUUUUUGUAUCUUAUUUUCCUUGUCUUCCCCCCCUCCCCCCAUCUUCUCUUACUGUAGUAUGUACUGGAGGAGCUCAAUAUAAGGUCUCUUGUUACAUGUAAGGACACUUUGAAGUAUGCAUCCAUUCGUGCAGAGCCUGAUUUUAGGUAUGCAACUUAUUAUCUUAUCAGCCCCUUUAUUGUCUGUUUCCCCCUCCUUUCAAUUGAGAGGAGCAGGAAAGGAGUAUGGAACCAGGUUCGUCUAAUAUUUAUUGCUUUUUCUAUUUUUUUUUUCAGCGUAUUAGGUAAGCGACUAGGAAAAGCUAUGGGAGCUGUUGCCAAGGAAAUCAAAGCCAUGUCUCAGGAAGAUAUCUUAGCUCUUACGAAAGCUGGAGAGGUGACUAUUGCUACACACUGUUUGAAGCUGACUGAAAUUAAGGUAUGCCGACUUAUGCUGGUAUAUGCAGGGUUGUUUUGCAUAGUUUAUUAUUAAAUUUAAUUUAAUGUAUUUGUUAAAAUUGUUUGCUCCGUCUCUUUUGUUUAGUCUUUAUAGUGAUGGCAUCAAUUUAAGUGAUUAGCUGUAUUUUAAACUUAUGGGCUUUUAUCUCUCUGUCUAUAAAUUCUUGAAUAAGAAGUUUAGGCUACUUUCUCUGGAUUGCUUAAAGUUUUUACAUAAUUUGAUGUGCUUUUGCCAAGAAUAGUGUUUUGGUAAAUACAUGCUGAGUAAAUAAAUGUUUUAUUUGUUUUGAAAUUGUUCAGCUUGUGCGGGAAUUUAAACAUCCUGAUGGCAUGACAGAUAAAGAGAUGGAUGCAUCUGGAGAUGGUGAGGAUUAUUAAUGUUAUUCUGAUUGGUGAUUUAUUCCUAUCAUGUCCUUCCCAUAAAGUGAUGUUAUGAAAAUACUUCAGUUUAAAAUAAUGUCUUUGUCAUAGGUGAUGUUUUGGUGGUUUUGGAUAUACGUCCUGAUGAGUCAUUGUUUGAAGCUGGUGUUGCACGUGAGGUAAAUUAAUCAUCAUGCUAGUAACAUAUGAAUUCUAAUUCAAAAAGAUGUAUUUACUUUUUCGUCUUCUUUCACUUUUUUUAAUUAGCAAUUGUGUUUGUGGAAGUAUGGUGACCUCUGUUGAUUGAUAAUGCCAUAUUGUGGUUAACUAGGUUUGUUUCUUUAUUAUGGAGGAAGCUAGUUGAAAGUUUUUGGUACUAUUUCUGAUGCAUUGGACAUUUUAAUUCAAUUUUUUGUAGGUGGUUAAUAGAAUUCAAAAAUCACGAAAGAAAGCUGGCCUUGAGCCGACAGAUAUGGUGGAGGUCUACUUUGAGUCAUUGGAUGAAGACAAGUCAGUCAUCCAGCAAGUUUUAAACUCACAGGUAAGUUUUGACCCAAAAAAAAAAAAUCUAGCCAGGGAUUUAGCUGUAGUUGCUAAUUAAAGACUAGCUAAACCCCUUGCCAGAUUUUUUGUUUGAAUGCAGCUGUGUGUGCAUCCAUGUACUUGUGCAUAGGGAAGGCAACGGGGCGGGCUGGGGUGAAUUUUUGUGUCCACCCCGAACCUUGAGGCAUCCGCCCCAACCUGACCCCGACUGUUAAAGAAAAAAAUCUGCCCUGAACCCAAACCCUAAAUUCAAUAGGAGACCCGACUCCUACCUAACUCGAAUUUAAUUGUUUUAUUUUUUAUUUUGAAGCAAAUGGAAUUACUUUUUUUUAAUUGUUUUAUUUUUAUUUUGAAGCAAAUAAGAUUAUUUUUUUUGAGUUUAGACUUAAAACUUAAUAUGUAUUUAUUUAUUGAAAGCAAAAACUUAAUAUAUAUCAGUGGCAUUUUUGUAAAUAUCUCGGGGGUGGAUUUACCUCAAACCUGACUAUUUUUUUUCAAAAUUCACCCUACCCAACCUGCCCUGAACCCGAUUUUAAAAAAAAAUCCGAUCCUAAUGGAUCGGGUUGGGUCGGAACCCAUUGGAUUUGGGUUUUUUGCCAUCCCUACAUGUGCAUGGAGUUUUUGUGCACUUCUAUCAUCUAUUUGUGAAUGAUUUUGCAUUGUUUGACAGUGGUUGCAAUGCCCAAUUUCUCAUAAGUCUUAAUUUGCAGUGUGCUGUAUAUAAUAGCUCAAGGUUGCAUCUUAUUGCAGGAAAACUACAUUAAGGAUGCAAUUGGAUCUCCAUUGCUUUCCUCUGACAUUAUGCCGCUCCAUGCAGUUAAGUUUGAUCAGUUUGAGUUUGUGUAUUAGCAUCUUGAAUUUUUUUUGAUUUCAUAGAUUGACAUGCAGCAUCUCUGUUCCUAAGCUAGUAUAAUGAAAUGCAGUAAUUUGUUGUGUGUAUAUUAGUGGAGUAUGAAAUUUCUUAAUCCUGCCAUCAUUUCAAGAUCCUAUCUUAUCUGUAAAUAUUAUACUCAUAGAUUUGUAGUAAAGCUGAAAACCGAGUGUUCCUUUUUCUCGUUGAUAGGAUGCACUUAUUCUAUAGUGGUUGCCUGCAGUUUUAUAGGCAGUAAUUGGUUUUAUGUUGUUUCAACUGAGACCAAAUCUUUAGUAGAUAAUACACCUUACUACAUGCUUCUAGAACAACAUUAGUUUGUUAUCAUCAUUGCUCUCCCUCCACCUUUCUUACCUCUUCAUAAUCCCAUUAUGGUUUACUUAUUCUUACAUAAUAAAAAUUGCAGGUGGUGCUUAGCGAAGAGAUUUUCCAUGGCAUCUAUAACAUGUCAUUUAAAAUAAGCUUGGUCAGACCAGCCCUUGUUUUCAAGGCAAAUUCUAUUCUCGCCUUAUAUUCAGGUUAGGCUGUGUUUUACAAUAUCAUCUUUCAUGCUACAAAUGAAUACAUUGCAACUCAGCCACUCAGAACACUGUUUUGACAAUUAUAGUAUCAGAUUUUUUGGCUGUAUUGCAAUUUUGAUUUCUUUUGAACUAUAUAUCUUCCAUUAGGUCAUAUUUUGAUUUCUUUUGAAAAUAGUCUCAGAUUGCUUGUCCAAGGUUCUGGCUAUUCUCCCAAAUUCAAACUAAAAUUUAUUGUAUUGGAUAUGAUAUAUAAAUAAAGCAUAUAUACUAAUGACAAUUGAGCUGUGCUUGACGCUUAAAUGGUUUGAUCAAGGCUAGCUAGGCUAGGCGCAUUUAAAAGAUAUAGCUUUUCAAGCUCUUUACAGUUGCUGCAUGUAAUAUGGUGUUAGCAAACUAAAAUGUUGUAUUCUCAUGUCUCAUUCUCUGUUAUCGAAUUAUUGAUGGUUGUAGGAAAUUCUAAAUUUGCACAAGGCCUGCAGAUUUACCUUCUGUCAAGGGACCAUUCCUGUUU